Molecule: long non-coding RNA, 59011 nt
Filed under: Triticum aestivum (bread wheat)
Lineage: Eukaryota; Viridiplantae; Streptophyta; Magnoliopsida; Poales; Poaceae
Description: long non-coding RNA (TAES_LNC003060)
Source: RNAcentral
UAAGGAAGUUGGAAUACAGUAGGUUUAACACCAAAAUAAAUAAAUAAUGAGUCCAUUACAGUACCUUAUGUGGUGGUUUUGUUUUCUUUCACUAACGGAGCUUAUAAGAUUUCCUGUUGAGUUUUGUGUUGUAAAGUUUUCAACUUUUGGGUAAAGAUUUUAUGGACUAUGGAAUAAAGGGUGGCAAGAGCCUAAGCUUGGGGAUGCCCAUGGCACCCCAAGAUAUUCAAGAAUAGCCAAAAGCCUAAUCUUGGGGAUGCCCCGGGAAGCCAUCCCCUCUUUCGUCUUCGUUCAUUGGUAACUUUACUUGGAGCUAUAUUUUUAUUCGCCACAUGAUAUGUGUUUUGCUUGGAGCGUGGUGUAUUAUAUUAGUCUUUGCUUUUUAUUUUACCACAAUCAUCCUUGCUGUAUACACCUUUUGGUAGAAGCCUAUUUAAUUAGAAUUUGCUAGAAUACUCUAUGUGCUUCACCUAUAUGUUUUGAGCUUGAUAGUUUUUGCUCUAGUGCUUCACUUAUAUCUUUUAGAGCACGGUGGUGUCUUAAUUUUGAAGAAAUUAUUAGUCUCUCAUGCUUCACUUAUAUCAUUUUGUGAGUCUUUUAGAACAGCAUGGUAUUUGCUAUGGUUAAAAUUUGGUCCUAGAAUGAUGAGCAUCCAAGUUGGGUAUAAUAAAAACUAUCGUAGAAAGUGAAUUGGAGGCUAUGAUCAAUUUGAUGCUUGAUAAUUGUUUUGAGAUAUGGCGGUAGUGAUAUUAAAGUUAUGCUAGUUGGGUGAUUACGAAUUUAAAGAAUGCUUGUGUUGAAGUUUGUGAUUCCCGUAGCAUGCACGUAUGGUGAACUGCUUUGUGAUGAAGUUGGAGCACAAUUUAUUUAUUGAGUGUCUUCCUUAUGAGUGGCGGUCGGGGACGAGUGAUGGUAUUUUCCUACCAAUAUAUUCCCCUAGGAGCAUGCGCGUAGUGCUUUGUUUUUUGAUGACUUCUAAAUUUUUGCAACAAGUAUAUGAGUUCUUUUGACUAAUGCUGAGUCCAUGGAUUACCUUUCCAUCAUUGCUAGCCUCUCUUGUACCGUGCAACUUUCACCGGUACCAUACACCCACCAUAUACCUUCCUUAAAACAGCCACCAUACCUACCUAUUAUGGCAUUUCCAUAGCCAUUCCGAGAUAUAUUGCCAUGCAACUUUCCACCGUUCCGUUCAUAUGACACACAUUACUUUUGUCAUAUUGCUCUUUGCAUGAUCAUGUAGUUGACAUUGUAUUUGUGGCAAGGCCACCUUCAUAAUUUUCAUACAUGUCGCUCUUGAUUCAUUGCAUAUCCCGGUACACCGCCAGAGGCAUUCAUAUAGAGUCAUACCUUGUUCUAGCUUUGAGUUGUAAUUCUUGAGUUGUAAAUCCAUAAAAGUGUGAUGAUUUUCAUUAUUAGAGCAUUGUCCUAGUGAGGAAAGGAUGAUGAAGACUAUGAUUCCCCCACAAGUCGGGAUGAGACUUCAGACUUUACCAAAAAAAAGAAAAAAAAGGGGAAAAAGAGAAAGGCCAAAAAGAAAAAAAGGAAGGCCAAAGAAAAAAAAAGAAAAAAAGAAGAGAAAAAAAGAAAAAAAAAGAAAAAUGAGAGAAAAAGAGAGAAGGGACAAUGCUACUAUCUCUUUUUCCACACUUGUGCUUCAAAAUAGCACCAUGAUCUUCAUGAUAGAGAGUCUCAUAUGUUGUCACUUUCAUAUACUAGUGGGAAUUUUUCAUUAUAGAACUUGUCUUGUAUAUUCCAAUGACGGGCUUCCUCAAAAUGCCCUAGGUCUUCGUGAGCAAGCGAGUUGGAUGCACACCCACUUAGUUUCUUUUGUUGAGCUUUCAUAUAUUUAUAGCUCUAGUGCAUCCGUUGCAUGGCAAUCCCUACUCACUCACAUUGAUAUCUAUUAAUGGGCAUCUCCAUAGACCGUUGAUACGCCUAGUUGAUGUGAGACUAUCUUCUCCUUUUUGUCUUCUCCACAACCACCAUUCUAUUCCACAUAUAGUGUUAUGUCCAUGGCUCACGCUCAUGUAUUGCGUGAAAGUUGAAAGAUUUUGAGAUUAUUAAAGUAUGAAACAAUUGCUUGGCUUGUCAUCGGGGUUGUGCAUGAUUAAAUACUUUGCGUGAUGAACAUAGAGCAACAACCAGACUAUAUGAUUUUGUAGGGAUAACUUUCUUUGGCCAUGUUAUUUUGAGAAUACAUGAUUGCUUUGAUUAGUAUGCUUGAAGUACUACUAUUUCUUAUGUCAAUAUAAAAUUUUAUUUUGUAUCAUUUGGAUCUGAUCAUUCAUGCCACAAUAAAGAAAAUUACAUUAUAAAUUAUGCUAGUUAGCAUUCCACAUCAAAAAUUUCUUUUUUAUCAUUUACCUACUCGAGGACGAGCAGGAAUUAAGCUUGGGGAUGCUUGAUACGUCUCCAAUGUAUCUAUAAUUUUUGAUUGUUCCAUGCUAUUAUAUUACCCCUUUUGGAUGUUUAUGGGCUUUAUUUUACACAUUUAUAUCAUUUUUGGGACUAACCUACUAACCGGAGGCCCAGCCCAUAUUGAUGUUUUUUUACCUAUUUCAGUAUUUCGAAGAAAAGGAAUAUCAAACGGAGUCCAAACAGAAUGAAACCUUCGGGAGCGUGAUUUUUGGAACGAACGUGAUCCGGAGGACUUGGAGUGCAAGUCAAGAAGCAGCCGAGGCUCCCACGAGAUAGGAGGGCGCGCCCCCCUAUAGGGCGCGCCCCCUGUCUCGUGGGCCCCUCGGGCGGCCACCGACGUACUUCUUCCUCCUAUAUAUACCUACGUACCCUGAAAACAUCCAAGAGGCGGACGAAACACAAUUUCCACCACCAUAACCUUCUGUAUCCGCGAUAUCUCAUCUUGGAGCCUUCGCCGGCACUCUGCCGGAGGGGGAAUCGACCACAGAGGGCUUCUACAUCAACAUCCUUGCCCCUCCAAUGAGUUGUGAGUAGUUUACCACAGACCUACGGGUCCAUAGUUAUUAGCUAGAUGGCUUCUUCUCUCUUUUUGGAUCUCAAUACAAUGUUCUCCCCCUCUCUUGUGGAGAUCUAUUCGAUGUAAACUCUUUUUGCUGUGUGUUUGUCGAGAUCCGAUGAAUUGUGGGUUUCUGAUCAAGUUUAUCUAUGAAUUAUAUUUGAAUCUUCUCUGAAUUCUUUUAUGUAUGAUUGAGUUAUCUUUGCAAGUCUCUUCGAAUUAUCAGUUUGGUUUGGCCUACUAGAUUGAUAUUUCUUGCCAUGGGAGAAGUGCUUAGCUUUAGGUUCAAUCUUGCAGUGUCCUUACCCAGUGACAGAAAGGGUUGCAAGGCACGUAUUGUAUUGUUGCCAUCGAGGAUAACAAGAUGGGGUUUAUAUCAUAUUGCUUGAGUUUAUCCCUCUACAUCAUGUCAUCUUGCUUAAUGCGUUACUCUGUUCUUAUGAACUUAAUACUCUAGAUGCAGGCAGGAGUUGGUCGAUGUGUGGAGUAAUAGUAGUAGAUGCAGGCAGGAGUCGGUCUACUUGUUAUGGACGUGAUGCCUAUAUACAUGAUCAUGCCUAGAUAAUCUCAUAAUUAUUCUCUUUUCUAUCAAUUGCUCGACAAUAAUUUGUUCACCCACCGUAAUACUUAUGCUAUCUUGAGAGAAGCCACUAGUGAAACCUAUGGCCCCCGGGUCUAUAUCUUAUCAUAUUUGCUUCCAAUCUACUUUUAUUUGCAUCUUUACUUUUUGCAUCUAUAUUAUGAAAUACCAAAAAUAUAUUUAUCUUAUCUUACUAUCUUUAUUAGAUCUUACUUUCACAAGUGGUCGUGAAGGGAUUGAUAACCCCUUUAUUGCGUUGGUUGUGAGUUCUUUGUUUGUUUGUGUAGGUGCGUGGGACUUUUGAGGAGCCUCCUACUGGAUUGAUACCUUGGUUCUCAAAAACUGAGGGAAAUACUUACGCUACUAUUCCUGCAUCACCCUCUCCUCUUCGAGGAAAACCAACGCAAGCUCAAGACGUAGCACGUCGCCGUCUCGCUCUUUAGCAUACAUUGCCACAUGGCCCUCACCGUCCUCGAAAUAUCCCACUCAUUGUCAAACCAAGUAAGAAUCUCCUUCAACCUGGCUAACUUUGCCUGGUCGCCGCCGGCGAUCUUCCUGAUUCGCUGCUGCAUCCUCUCCAUAGAUGUCCUUCUGAGUGGUUUGGUGCUAGCUUUGGAAGAUGGGAGGAGAGACGGUGGUCUUGCAAUAGAGAAGAGGGAAAGGCGAGACGGUGUUUUGUUAUGGAGAUGAUGGAGAGGAGAGGAGGUGGUUUUGCAAUGGAGAAGAGGGAGAGGCGAGAUGGUGGUUUUGCAAUGGAGAUGAUGGAGAGGAGAGGAGGUGGUUUUGCAAUGGAGAAGAGGGAGAGGAGCAUGCGGCAGCUAUUUAGGAUUGGACUAGAGGGCCGGCGCGCUGUGAGUGGAUCAAAAUCAAAAUCAAUUUACCCUUCAAUUAAGAAAGCGACCCCACAUUAACUAGUCUCCCUUUUAUUCUGGGUCAUAAUUGACCAUGAUUUUCACAAAUAAAAUAUGUGUUAUACGUUGCAAAAAUAAUAUAAUUUGAAAGUACAUUCAUAUACGAACCAAACGAUACAAUUUUUGGUGACAUGCAUUCACAUUUUGCUUGUCAAAUACAGUACAUGGUCAAACUUUGACCCAAAAUACACAAAAAAAAUACUUCCAAGACUAGCGCCGCUCUUCCGCUCUUCGCCUCUUAGACCACCACCGCUCCUCUCCUGUUCCAAUCUAAAUCCAGCGCCGCUCCUCUCCUCUUCCAUUUCAAAACCACCUCCCCUCCUCUCCUGUUCCAAUCCAAAACCAGUGUCGCUCCCCUCCCGUUCGAAUCCAAAACCAGCGCUGCUCCUCUCCUCUUUAAUUCAAAAACCACCACCGGCGAGUGAAGGUGCUGCGGAGAAGUAGAUCGAUGGAGGAGUACAACCGAUACGUGAGGAUCACAGACGGCGACCCUGUGAAGCUAGCUAGGAUGUUGGAGAUACAGUAUUGGUUUGACAACAAGGACCAACUAGCGGCGACGGCGACAUUCAUGGCCAAAUAUCUGCAAUAGAGCGAAAUGGCGGUGAUACUCCCGGAGGGAGUCGUGCUGGAGUACAUAGAGCUGCUCCUCUAGGCCAUGGAGCAAACAUAUUGACUGAAUCCGAUCGUGAGGGAGCGGUGGCAGGAGUAUCAAUCCCAGAUGGAGCAUCCACCAGAGAUUGAAGGAUCGGGCAUCUACAGGGUGCCGUUUGUGAGGGUCUCAUGCCAGAGCGAGCCGGUGGAGUCUUCGUCGACCGAACCCAACUACAAGAGGAGAAAAGCAGUUGGCCCGACGACGAUUCCCCGCCAUCCUCUCCCUCGCCGUUCACAUCGUCUCACGGGGCGGCUAUCUGCUGCCGAGGAAUAGGAGGGGACUGCCCCCAGCCCAAUAGUCGGGCAGGUUGUGAAUUAUCAGGAGGAGCUUAGGAUUGUCAGUAUUUGCAGGUUGUGAAUUGUGUUUUGUGUUGUGUAUUUUGAGAGUACUUUCAGAUAUGAAUGUCUUUUUGAAUUUCAGAUUUGCAGUAUUGAGCAUAUGAAGUAUUUUAUGAAUUCUAGAGAUCUAUUUUUAGCACUUAAAAAAUGUAGUUUCAUAGGAGUAUAAAAGUGCAGACAAUGUGAUUCUCAGAGAAGAAACUGCAAGUUUCAGUUUCAGAUAAGAAACUGCAACUUUCAGAGACAGAGCAUUUAUAUUAACACGACCUUUUCAAACAGGGUUAACAUCAUAUUGGAAGUUUUAUUCAUGGUCAAAAAUUGGACUACCGGCCAGCUAACAUCAUGCUGAUCAACAUUCAUGCAUAGCAAAUCUUCAUAUGAUGCAUAGUCAAAAAGAUAUGCUAUUUUCAAAAUGCACACACAAUGUCGAGUGUGCGAAACACAGAGAAAACGAGGGACGGACUUUUGGCAAGUGUUGGACGUGGUGUGCGUAGAUGACAAUGGGGACCCACAUGUCAAUAAAGGCAGGGGCAAAAAAUUUGGAGAUAUUUUCCCUGCACAGGUGGAAUCGAACCCAGGUGGAACAGCUGUCGGGUAGUGUCACUUGGCCACUAGGCUAGUUCAGUAGUUUCGUUACUAAUAAGGCACUUCCUCAGGUGGUCGGAUCCCCUCCUGCGCCUUUGUGCGCUCGCCGCGACGCUGCUGUCUGCCAUUGUGAACAUGCUGAACAAACGAGAGGAAUCUGGAGACGGCUGUACGUGGAGAGGCGGACAGUCGGGAUCCACCAGGUCUAUGGCCGUACGCAAGCAAGUGCCUCAUCGAAAAAAAUACUUCCUCCUAAUGCUAUACUGACGUUGGGGCCCAUAGGUUUGUCAAUAUAGUUACAUUUUCUAGGUGCUUCAACGUAGUUACUAUAGGAGAUAAAUUCACAAUGAAGCCGGGGAGCUGGCAUGUAUCAUUUAUUAUCACUGGGGCAGCAAGUAUCAGCUGGGUUUUGGGCUGCUCCGUCUAGGCUUUCUUUUUUAGCAUGCGCAGCCCACGACCUCGGAUGGGAGGUCCAUAGGCCUGUUUGUAUUUUCUUGAGGGCCGUCAUGUAUCGGCCGGCCUAUGGACCUCCCAUCCUAGGUUUUAUUUUUCCUGAAACAUCGGCAACCCAAUUUAUGUAUUUUUUUUGAAGAAAACGCAGAGGUCUAUUCUAUUUUUCUAUAUAAGAAUAGGAACGCCUGGUCCAACUUAUGUUCCCCUUCUAACUAUAUUAUAUAUAUUUAAAUUAUUUUAUAUGUUAUUAUAUAUUAUUUUUAUUGUCAUCAUAUAUUUAAAAGAUACUUACAUAUGUAAGAAAAUAAUAUCCCACAUCUUAUUAACUUAUAAAAAUAAUUUCUUAACAAUAAAAUCCUGGAUUUUUUGGCACGAAAAUCCUAGUGAUUGUGUACAAAAGCUUGGUAAGAUUUAAGGACGACUGUAAUAAUGAAUCACUUAUUAUUAAAUAUAUUUAUAACAAAAUGCUCAGCCCCUGUUUAUUUUUUGAUAAUAUUGCUGGCCCAACCCAACAUUAUAAUUAGAAUCAGCCCAGCAAAAUCGUGUAUUUCGAGAAAGUGCACAUGGCCUGCAAUUUUUUAGGAAAAAAAAUAAAUGGGCCGCAUGGACGCUACAUUAUUUGUUCACCCAGCCCAGCUAAUGGACUGUAAUUCAAAAAAAAGAUCAAAUUGACUGUAAAUUCUACCCCACAAAAAAAGACUAUAAAUUCUGAAAAAAUGGGUUGAAUACGUGCCACAUUUUUGGAGGCUGAAAUGUGGGCCAAUAGGUCGACGCCAACGCAAGUCGUUGUCAACUUAGUCAACAAAUGAUUCUGACAUCGUUAGCCGUUGGAUUUAUAUCCAAUGACCGGCAUCCAUCUUCAAUCUCUUGUCUUCUUCCUCUAGCGCCGCCGGGACCACCUCCCGCCUCCUGCUGCUAGCAGCUCUGCUUAGCACGCUUCACUAUGAAGCGCUACUCUACCGUUGGCCAGGCGAUCCCUCCACCCCUCCACACCUCUUGUUCUUCUCCACCGACUACCGGACCACACCGCACCAGAACCAGUUAACCCUCGUACACCUCUCCGUCUGCGACUCUACUCCCGCGUCUUCCCUUCUCUGGCCCGUUGCUGUCCGGGGCCUCGUCGUCGUCCACCACCUUGGAUGCGCUCGGCGCGAUGUGGUCAACGAACGACACCAUCAGAAGUAGACUGUGCGUGGAGAGGCUGACAGCUGGGUCCACGGCCGCACGCAAAGAAAUGCCUCCUUCUUUCGUGCAAAAUAAUGAUUCCUCCACCUGACAGCUGGGACCCACAGGAAGGGCCUCUGUAUUUCAUGAAAAAACAUUCCCCCCGCUGACAGGUCGGACCCACCAGCUAUAUCUUAGCACGCAAGGAAGUGCCUCCUUAUUACGCACAAAAAAAUGAAUACCCCCUUGCUAGCUGGGACCCCACAUAGUGGGAGGCUGACUUGUGGGCCAACUAAGUUGACGGGGACGGAGGGCUUUGUCAACUUAGUCAAUAUGAAUGAUUCUAGCUCUAGUGACCGUAUGAUGUCCAUCCAAUGGCCGUAGUACUUCUUCAACCUCUGGUCUUCUUGCUCCAGCCACCCAAACCAGCGCCGGUCGUGCUGCAUGCUCCUGCCUUCCAUGGCCGUCUAUGAUGCCGCGGAGGCCUCACCGCCCCCUACUACUCCCACUGCUGGCCAGGCCAUCCCUCUACUCACACACACCCCCUGUUAUUCUGUGCCGACGACAGCCUCACACCGCAGCCGAACCAGUGAACCCUCAUACUCCUCUACGCGUGGGCAUCCACUGCCGCAUCUUCCUCGGCUCCAUGUCGUCCCCUUCCUAGGCCUCGCCAUCGUCCACCGCCCUGGUGCUCUCGAUGCGGCGUGGUCAACGUGGUCAAGGAACGACUUCCAUCGGAAGAGUACUGUACGUUGAUAGGCUGACAGCUGGGUCCAGGGCAGCCGCAAGGAAUUGGCUCCUUAUUACACGCAAAAUUAUUAUUCCUCCACCUGACAAUAGGGACCCACCGGACUGGCCACUGUAUUCUGCGAAAAAAACAUUUCCCCCCUCACUGCUGGGACCCACUAGCUACAUCUUCGCACACAAGGAAGUGCGUCCGGUCAAAAAACCCAAUUCACCCCCUGACUGCUGGGACCCACCAGCUACAUCUUCGCACGCAAGGAAGUGCCUGACAGUCGGGACCUACCUGGUCGAAGCGUACAUAGCGUUGUCAUUCUGGUCGCGAACGUGUACAUACAUACUGGUCGAGGUAGAGGCACGCAGGUGUCGUAGUAGAGGUGCACACAUAGCAUGUACAUGUACGUAUAGCGGCCAGUGUGCAAGAAAGAAAAUACGGCCACGUACGUACAUACAGGCGGGGUCUCGAACGCCUACUCGUGCAUACGUACGGCCAGGGCUCAUGUACAUGGCUGGGUCGGAAUGGAGAAACUGCGUCAUCAUCGUGUUCAUGGGGAGGCAACGAAAUGCGUCGUGUUCAUCGGGAGGCAACGGAACGUGUGGGAGCCAACCGGCUUGGACGGAACAGUCAAUGGAAACGAGGCCUGGCGUACCACACAACGGAGGAAAUGGCCUUGUGUUCGACCAGUCACAUUCGAAAACGGGAUCUUGUUCAUCGGGAGGAGUCUGGCAUACCGCAAAACGGAGGAAACAGACUUGUGUUGGACCUCUUACGGUCGAAACAGGGUCCUGUUGAUCGGGAGGGGUGUGGCGUACCGCAAAACGGAGGAAACGGACUUGUAAUGGAGCGCUAUGGUCGGAACGGGGGUCCUGUUCAUCGGAAGGGGUGUGGCGUACCACAAAACGGGACUCCACGGGAUACUGUUCAUCUCCAUCGUCCAUCUCCUCCAGCCUCCACGGGCUACUGUUCAUCCACCAUCAACCUCCUCCAGCCUCCACAAGCAUCUAUUCAUGCACGGGCUCCUGUUCAUCCAGCCUCCAUCGCGCGCUACUCCACCGGCUACUGUUCAAUCAUCGCUCUCCACGGGCUCCUAUUCAACCACCCCUCCACGGGGUACUGUUCAUCCAGCCCUCCACCGUCUACUGUUCAUCUAGCUCUCCACGGGGUCGUCCUAUUCAUACAACCCUCCACAGGGUCCUGUUCAUCUAGCCCCUACCGGUUCGAUCGAUCGGGGUCCUGUUCAUCUAGAGGCAACACCACGGGGUCCUGUUCAUCCACCCCCACCGGGAACUGUUCAUCCAAACCACCCAGCAACGCUCAUUGUCUAUCCAGAGGCAGCAUCGAUCGACUUCAGUUAGCAGCAGUAGUGAAGGAAUCGCUCGAUCACUCGGGUUCAGUAACGCAUAGACUGUAGUGCAAUCGCUAGGUUUAGUUAGGUGACGCCUCGCUCGGGUUCAGUUAGAGCCCAACGCCUCGCACCCACGCGCGUACGGUACAAGAGAAACGUGCGUCGCUCGGCCCCCGACCACCCACCAUAACCGGGAACUCCCCGAAAUUUUUCUCGCCCUCGCUUCUACCACGGUUUUUCCCAUCAUGGACGACCCAAAGAAUGUCAUGCAGCUGCGUCUUCGGCCCGCCCAGGACGAAAAACCCAUUUUCUGUCAUGAUUUUUUGUCAUAGUAGUAGGAGCCCACCACAUCUAUGAUGAUACCUUAUUUUGUCACAAUUAUCAUCAUAGAAGUGUCAUAAGUAUGAAAGAAAAAAAUUCGUUCAUCCCAAAAUGUCAUGGAUGUGUCUUUUUUUGUAGUGCUAUUCGAUGUAAUCUUCUUUUGCGAUGUGUUUGUUGAGAUCUGAUGAAUUGUGGAUUUAUGAUCAGAUUAUCUAUGAAUAUUAUUUGAGUCUUCUCCAAACUCUUUUAUGCAUGAUAAAGAUAGCUUUGUAUUUCUCUCCAAUCUAUUGAUUUGGUUUGGCUAACUAGAUUGAUCUAUCUUGCAAUGGGAGAGGUGCUUUGUUUUGGGUUCAAUCUUGCAGUGUCCUCACCUAGUGACAAUACGAGUAGUGAGGCACGUACUGUAUUGUUGCCAUUAAGGAUAAAAAGAUGGUUUUUUUACCAUAUUGUUUGGAUCUAUCCCUCUACAUCAUGUCAUCUUGCUUAAGGCAUUACUCUGUCCUUGUUAACUUAAUACACUAGAUGCCUACUUGGUAGCGGUCGAUGUGUCGAGUAAUAAUAGUAGAUGCAGAAUCAUUUCGGUCUACUUAUCAGGGACGUGAUGCCUAUAUUCAUGAUCAUUGCCUUAGAUAUCGUCAUAACUAUGCACUUUUCUAUCAAUCGCUCAACAGUAAUUUGUUCACCCACCAUAUGCUUUCUUCAAAAGAGAAGCCUCUAGUGAAACCUAUGGCCCUCGGGUCUAUUUCCUAUCAUAUUAUUUUCAGAUCUAAAAAACCAAAAAUCCAAAAAUACCUUGCUGCAAUUUAUUUAUCUUUACUUUAUUUUACACUUUAAGUUAUCUUUUAUAACUAUCUCUAUCAGAUCUCACUCUUGCUAGUGAUCGUGAAGGGAUUAACAACCCCUUUUUCGCGUUGUGUGCAAGUGUUUGUUAGUUUGUGCAGGUGCAUCUAUUGGGGACUUGGUUGUGCCUCCUACUUGAUUGAUACCUUGGUUCUUAACUGAGGGAAAUACUUAUCUCUACUUUGCUUCAUCACCCUUUCCUCUUCAAGGAAAAAUCAACGCAAGCUUAAGAAGUAGCAGGAAGAAUUACUGGCGCCGUUGCCAGGGAGGUUCUACAUCAAGCCUACCAAGUACCUAUCAUAAAUUAUCAUCUCUUGCACUUACAUUAUUUGCCAUUUGCCUCUCAUUUUCCGCUCCCCCACUUCUAAAACAUUUUCAGAAAAACACAAAAUUAUUUUCCUUUUUAUUCUCCUUCUUUUCAUUCGCCUUUUUGUUCGUCUUUUCGUUUGCUUUUUGUUUGCUUGUGUGCUAGAUCGCUUGCUUGCCAUCAUGUCUGAAUCUGGGGAGAUAAUCAUUGAAGAAGGUAGUAAUAAUCUAGAGGGAAAUUUUGAUGAUUUUGCUAAUGAUGAUCCUCAUGAGGAAGAACCUACUACCAUGCAAACUAAAAAAUUCCGUAUAGGUAGGGGUAAUAUUAUUGGAAAAGGUGUUAUUCGAGAUUUCUUUGCUUGUGCAGGUGCGUUACCUAUGCUAGGACAGUCGAUUCUUAACAAAACCGAUAGCCUUGCGGAUGCAAUGUGUUUGCUUAUAGUUAAACUUGAAACACAAUUUGUUCACAUGCAUCCAUGCAUACGAAGGAUUUUUCUAGAAUUUUCUAAUAUUCACAAUCCUUCCGUUAAGCGUGUUGUCACUAUUUCCAGCUCCUGAAUUUGGGCACAUCACAAAAGAAGCUAGUGAAAUAUUUGCUCAUUAUAAUAUCAACGGUGGUUGCCCUCCUAUUGAGGAUAUCCUUUUUAAUCAAGAGGAGACUAGGAGAUUACAAUCUCCAGAUUAUUCUGCUUAUAAUGAAAGUCUAAGGAAGAGGGUUCCUACCGAUGUUUUGAUUGAUAAGACUCCUUAAGUCAAUGAUAACUUUGCUAUACAAAAUAACGGAUUAGGGUUUGUGCUUAGAGAUAGACUUAGGGAGUUCAAUCAAAGGAAUGUUUUUAAUGAAGAGAUAAUUAUCAAUUGCAAAGGGCCAAAGAGGACCCUAUUACUCCCAAACUUGAUCUUAUAGAUCCAUACCCUAUUAAAUUUAACCCCAUUGAUUAUUUUUGCUUACCACAAAGAAAGCUUGCUGCUGAAAGGAGGGAGUAUGAGAUGAGCAUGGAUGAUCUCCCUCACUUAUAUUACAAUACCUAGAUCUAUGCAUUAUGCCUAGCUAGGGGCACUAAACAAUAGCGCUUGUUGGGAGGCAACCAAUUUUAUUUUAUGUUUUUGUUUUUUGCUUCUAUUCUUGAAUAAAUAUGCAAUAUUACUUCUGUAAUAAUUGUGUUUUAGUGUUUUAAUUAGUGUUUGAGCCAAGUAAGACCUUUGGGAUGAUCUAUGGUGAUAGUUGAUUUGAUUUUGCUAAAAAACAGAAACUUUUGCAUCCAGUAGCAGAAUUGUUAAAAUUCAUUGGAGCGUGAUAAAAUUCUGAAUUGUUUACACAAGAUUCAUAUACAAAUUUCCUCUAUUUUUCUAAUUUUUCAGAAUUUUUGGAGUUACAAAACUAUGGAUAAAGUCCAGAUUACUACAGACUAUUCUGUUUUUGACAAAUUAUGUUUUCAUUGUGUUGUUUGCUUAUUUUGAUGAAUCUAUGGGUAGUAUCGGGGGUUGUGAACCAUGGAGAAGUUAGAAUACAGUAGAUAUAACACAAAUAUAAAAUUGGAAUGAGUUUACAAGAGUCUUAACAAUAUAAACGUGUGUUUGGAUAUAGCACUCAUCCAUGAAUACCUCAACAAUCUUUUCAGAAAAGUCGGAGAAUAUAACACUCAUACAUCUUUGGAAGGUAAAAGGUGCAUUGCAUAAACCAAAAGGCAUACGUCUAUAAGCAUAAGUUCCAAAAAGGCAAGUACAAGUAGUUUUCUCUUGAUCUUCUUUUGACACAGGUAUUUGAGAAAAAACCAGAAUUUCCAUCAAGGAAACAAAAGUGUGUGUGCUUAGAUAAUCUUCCUAAAAUUUGAUCAAUAAAAGGCAAGGGGUAAUGAUCUUUUCUAGUUGCUUUAUUUAAUUUCCUGAAAACAAUUGCAAUCCUAUAACCCGUUACAAUUCUUUGUGGGAUAAGUUCAUUUUUAUCGUUAGGAACAACGGUUAUGCCUCCUUUCUUAGGAAAACAAUGAACAAGAUUUACAAAUCUACUAUCAGCUCUAGGAUAAAUUAUACCUGCCUCCAUAAGCUUUAAUAUUUCAGUCCUUACCACUUCUUUAAUUUUAGGAUUCAGACGGCAUUGAUGAUCAACAACCGGUUUCGCAUCAGGCUCCCUAUUAAUCUUGUGUUGACAUAAAGUGGGACUAAUGCCCUUAAGAUCAUCAAGAGUAUAUCCAAUAGCAGCAUGGUGCUUCUUCUGAGUUUUGGGUAAUUUCUUUUCUUCAUUCUAUGAAAGGUUAGCACUGAUGAUAACAGGAUAUAUCUUCUUUUCAUCAAGAUAAGCAUACAUUAAUGUAUCAGGUAGUUUCUUUAAUUCAAACAUGGGGUCACUCUUAGGUGGAAGAGGAUCUCAGAGUGUCAACAAACAAAUUGUGCUUAAGGAUAGGUGCUUGUUUAAAGAAUAUCUCAUCUAUUUCAUUUCUUUCAUUCAUAUGCAUAUCAUUUUCAUGGUCUAGCAUAUAUUGUUCUUACCGACUAGUAGGAGGUACGACAAUGGAAGCAAGUGAAGGAAAUAUGCCCUAGAGGCAAUAAAAGUUAUUAUUUAUUUCCUUAAUUCAUGAUAAAUGUUUAUUAUUCAUGCUAGAAUUGUAUUAACCGGAAACUUAGUACAUGUGUGAAUACAUAGACAAAACCUAUAGUCCCUAGUAUGCCUCUACUUGACUAGCUCGUUAAUCAAAGAUGGUUAAGUUUCCUAACCAUAGACAUGGGGUCACUCUUAGGUGGAAGAGGAUCUCAGAGUGUCAACAAACAAAUUGUGCUUAAGGAUAGGUGCUUGUUUAAAGAAUACCUCAUCUAUUUCAUUUCUUUCAUUCAUAUGCAUAUCAUUUUCAUGGUCUAGCAGAUAUUGUUCUUACCGAUUAGUAGGAGGUACGACAAUGGAAGCAAGUGAAGGAAAUAUGCCCUAGAGGCAAUAAUAAAGUUAUUAUUUAUUUCCUUAAUUCAUGAUAAAUGUUUAUUAUUCAUGCUAGAAUUGUAUUAACCGGAAACUUAGUACAUGUGUGAAUACAUAGACAAAACCUAUAGUCCCUAGUAUGCCUCUACUUGACUAGCUCGUUAAUCAAAGAUGGUUAAGUUUCCUAACCAUAGACAUGUGUUGUCAUUUGAUGAACGGGAUCACAUCAUUAGCAGAAUGAUGUGAUGGACAUGACCCAUCCGUUAGCUUAGCAUUAAGAUCGUGUUAGUUUCAUUGCUACUGCUUUCUUCAUGACUUAUACAAGUUCCUCAGACUAUGAGAUUAUGCAACUCCCGAAUAUCGGAGGACACUUAGUGUGCUACCAAACGUCACAACGUAAAAGGGUGAUUAUAAAGGUGCUCUACAGGUGUCUCCGAAGGUGUUUGUUGGGUUGGCAUUGAUCGAGAUUAGGAUUUGUCACUUCGUGUUUCGAAGAGGUAUCUCUGGGCCCUCUCGGUAAUACUAAUCACUAUAAGCCUUGCAAGCAUUGUGACUAAUGAGUUAGUUGCGGGGUGAAGUAUUACAGAAUGAGUAAAGAGACUUGCCGGUAACGAGAUUGAACUAGGUAUUGAGAUACCGACGAUCGAAUCUCAGGCAAGUAACAUACCGAUGACAAAGGGGACAACAUAUGUUGUUAUGCGAUUUGACCGAUAAAGAUCUUCGUAGAAUAUGUAGGAACCAAUAUGAGCAUCCAGGUUCCGCUAUUGGUUAUUGACCGGAGACGUGUCUCGGUCAUGUCUACAUAGUUCUCAAACACGUAGGGUCCGCAUGCUUAAAGUUUGGUGACGAUCUGCAUUAUGAGUUUAUGUGUUUUGAUGUACCGUAGGUAGUUUGGAGUCCCGGAUGUGAUCACGGACAUGACGAAGAGUCUCUAAAUGGUCGAUACAUAAAGAUUGAUAUAUUGGAAUGCUAUAUUCGGACACUGGAAGAGUUCUGGGUGAUUUCGGAGAAAACCGGAGUGCCGAAGGGGUUAGCGAAAUUCCCCGGGGAAGUAUUGGGCCUUAGUGGGCCUUAGGGGAGAGAGAAGGCAGCAGCCCAGGAGGUGGCGCCCGCCCCAAGGGGAGUCUGAAUUGGACUAGGGGAAGGGGGCGCGGCCCCUCUUUCCCUCUCCCUCUCCCUCUCCUUCCUUCGCCCUUCCUCCUCCUAGCUGGACUAGGAAAGGAGGAGUCCUACUCCUACUAGGAGGAGGACUCCUCCCCUCCUUGGCGCGCCCCAAGGGCCAGCCAGCCUCCCCCUUUCUCCUUUAUAUACGGGGGCAGGGGGCACCCUAGAACAUACAAGUAGUUGACAUUGUUUAGCCGUGUGCGGUGUCCCCCUCCAAAGUGACACACCUCGGUCAUAUCGUCGUAGUGCUUAGGUGAAGCCCUACGCCGGUAACUUCAUCAUCACCAUCACCACGCCGCCGUGCUAACUAAACUCUCCCUCGGUCUCAACUGGAUCAAGAGUAUGAGGGACGUCCCCGAGCUGAACGUGUGCUGAUCGCGGAGGUGCCAUACAUUCGGUACUAAGAUCGGUCAGAUCAUGAAGACAUAUGACUACAUCAACCGCGUUGUCAUAACGCUUCCUCUUUCGGUCUAUGAGGGUAUGUGGACACACUCUCCCCUCUCGUUGCUAUGCAUCACCAUGAUCUUGCGUGUGCGUAGGAAAUUUUUGAAAUUACUGCAUUCCCCAACAGUGGCAUCCGAGCCAGGUUUAUGCGUAGAUGUUAUAUGCACGAGUAGAACACAAAGAGUUGUGGGCGAUAAUAGUCAUACUACUUACCAGCAUGGCAUACUUUGAUUCGGUGGUAUUGUUGGAUGAAGCGGCUCAGACCGACAUUACGCGUACGCUUACGCGAGACUGGUUCUACCGAUGUGCUUUGCACAUAGGUGGCUGGUGAGUGUCUGUUUCUCCAACUUUUGUUGAAUCGAGUGUGGCUAUGCCCAGUCCUUGUUGAAGGUUAAAACAACACACUUGACAAAAAAUCGUUGUGGUUUUGAUGCAUAGGUAAGAACGGUUCUUGCUAGAAGCCCAUAGCAGCCACGUAAAACUUGCAACAACAAAGUAGAGGACGUCUAACUUGUUUUUGCAGGGCUUGUUGUGAUGUGAUAUGGUCAAGCAUGAUGUGAUAUAAAUUGUUGUAUGAGAUGAUCAUGUUUUGUAACAAAGUUAUCGGCAACUGGCAGGAGCCAUAUGGUUAUCGCUUUAUUGUAUGCAAUGCAAUCGCCAUGUAAUUGUUUUAGUUUAUCACUAAGCGGUAGCGAGAGUCGUAGUAACAAUAGGUGGCGAGACGACAACGAUGCUACGAUGGAGAUCAAGGUGUCGCACCAAUGACAUUGGAGAUCAUGAUGAUGCUUCGGUGAUGGAGAUCACGAGCACAAGAUGAUGAUGGCCAUAUCAUGUCACAUAUUUUGAUUGCAUGUGAUGUUUAUCCUUUAUGCAUCUUAUUUUGCAUAGAACAUCGGUAGCAUUAUAAGAUGAUCCCUUACUAAAUUUCAAGGUACAAGUGUUCUCCCUGAGUAUGCACCAUUGCUACAGUUCGUCAUGCCUAGACACCUUGUGAUGAUUGAGUGCGAUAAGCUCUAUGUUCACAUACAACGGGUGCAAGCCAGUUUUGCACACGCAGAAUACUCGGGUUAAACUUGACGAGCCUAGCAUAUGCAGAUAUGGCCUCGGAACACUAAGACUGAAAGGUCGAGCGUGAAUCAUAUAGUAGAUAUGAUCAACAUAGUGAUGUUCACCAUUGAAAACUACUCCAUCUCACAUGAUGAUCGGACAUGGUUUAGUUGAUUUGGAUCACAUGAUCACUUAGAUGAUUAGAGGGAUGUCUAUCUAAGUGGGAGUUCUUAAGUAAUAUGAUUAAUUGAAUUUUAAUUUAUCAUGAACUUAGUGCCUGAUAGUAUUUUGCAUGUCUAUGUUGUUGUAGAUCAAUGGCCUGUGCUACCAUUCCUUUGAAUUUUAAUGCGUUCCUAGAGAAAGUUAAGUUGAAAGAUGAUGGCAGCAACUACAUGGAUUGGGUCCAUAACUUGAGGAUUAUCCUCAUUGCUGCACAAAAGUAUUACGUCCUGGAAGCACCGCUGGGUGCAAGGCCUGCUGCAGAUGCUACUGAUGACAUUAAGAACGUCUGGCAGAGCAAAGUUGAUGACUACUUGAUAGUUCAGUGUGCCAUGCUUUACGGCUUAGAAUCGGGACUUCAAAGACGUUUUGAACGUCAUUGAGCAUAUAAGAUGUUCCAAGAGUUGAAGUUAAUAUUUCAAGCAAAUGCCCGAGUUGAGAGAUAUGAAGUCUACGACAAGUUCUACAACUGCAAAAUGGAGGAGAAUAGUUCUGUGAGUGAACACAUACUCAAAAUGUCAGGGUAUCAUAAUCACUUGACUCAGCUGGGAGUUGAUCUUCCAGUUGAUUGUGUCAUUGACAGAGUUCUUCAAUCACUGCCACCAAGCUAUAAAGGCUUCAUGAUGAACUAUAAUAUGCAAGGGAUGGACAAGACUAUUCCUGAGCUCUUCGCGAUGCUAAAGGCCGCGGAGGUUAAAAUCAAAAAGGAGCAUCAAGUGUUGAUGGUCAAUAAGACCACUAGUUUCAGGAAAAAGGGCAAAGGGAAGAAAGGAAACUUCAAGAAGAAUGGCAAAAAGGUUGCUGCUCAAGAGAAGAAACCCAAGUCUGGACCUAAGCCUGAAACUGAGUGCUUCUACUGCAAAGGGACUGGUCACUGGAAGCGGAACUGCCCAAGUAUUUGGCGGAUAAUAAGGAUGGCAAAGUGAAAGGUAUAUUUGAUAUACAUGUUUUUGAUGUGUACUUAACUAAUGCUCGCAGUAGAGCCUGGGUAUUUGAUACUGGUUCUAUUGCUCAUAUUUGCAACUUGAAAUAGAGGCUACGGAUUAAGCGAAGAUUGGCUAAGGACGAGGUGACGAUGCACAUGGGAAAUGGUUCCAAAGUCAAUGUGAUCACGGUCGGCACGCUACCUCUACAUCUACCAUCAGAAUUAGUUUUAGACGUGAAUAAUUAUUAUUUGGUGCCAACGUUGAGCAUGAACAUUAUAUCUGGAUAUUGUUUAAUGCAAGAUGGUUAUUCAUUUAAAUUAGAGAAUAAUGGUUGUUCUAUUUAUAUGAGUAAUAUCUUUUAUGGUCAUGCACCCCUGAUGAGUGGUCUGUUUUUGUUGAAUCUCGAUAGUAGUGAUAAACAUAUUCAUAGUGUGGAAUCCAAAAGAUUGAUGUUUAAUAAUGAUAGUGCAACUUAUUUGUGGCACUGCCGUUUGGGUCAUAUCGGUAUAAAGCGCAUGAAGAAACUCCAUACUGAUGGACUUUUGGAAUCACUUGAUUAUGAAUCACUUGGUGCUUGCGAACCGUGCCUUAUGGGCAAGAUGACUAAAACUCCGUUCUCCGGAACAAUGGAAUGAGCUACUGACUUGUUGGAAAUAAUACAUACCGAUAUAUGCGGUCCAAUGAGCAUUGAUGCUCGUGGCGGGUAUCGUUAUUUUCUUACUUCCACAGAUGAUUUGAGCAGAUAUGGUUAUAUCUACUUAAUGAAGCAUAAGUCUGAAACAUUUGAAAACUUCAAAGAAUUUCAAAGUGAAGUGGAAAAUCAUCGUAACAAGAAAAUAAAGUUUCUACGAUCUGAUCGUGGAGGAGAAUAUUUGAGUUCCGAGUUUGGUUUUCAUUUCAAACAACAUGGAAUAGUUUCACAAUUAACGCCACCUGGAACACAACAACGAAAUGGUGUGUCCGAACGUCGUAACUGUACUUUAUUAGAUAUGGUGUGAUCUAUGAUGUCUCUUACUGAUUUACCGCUAUCGUUUUGGGGUUAUGCUCUAAAGACGGCUGCAUUCACUUUAAAUAGGGCACCAUCAAAAUCCGUUGAGACGACGCCCUAUGAACUGUGGUUUGGCAAGAAACCAAAGUUGUCGUUUCUUAAAAUUUGGGGCUGCGAUGCUUAUGUGAAAAAGCUUCAACCUGAUAAGUUCGAACCCAAAUCGGAGAAGUGCGUCUUCAUAGGAUACCCAAAAGAAACUGUUGGGUACACCCUUUAUCACAUAUCCGAAGGCAAAAUCUUUGUUGCUAAGAAUGGAUCCUUUCUAGAGAAGGAGUUUCUCUGGAAAGAAGUGAGUGGGAGGAAAGUAGAACUUGAUGAGGUAACUGUACCUGCUCCCUUAUUGGAAAGUAGUUCAUCGCAGAACUACACCAAUUAGCGAGGAAGCUAAUGAUGAUGAUCAUGAAGCUUUAGAUCAAGUUACUACCGAACUUCGUAGGUCUUCCAGAGUAAGAUCCGCACUAGUGUGGUAUGGUAAUCCUGUUCUGGAAGUCAUGUUACUAGAUCAUGAUGAACCUACGAAUUAUGAGGAAGCGAUGAUGAGCCCAGAUUCUGCGAAAUGGUUGAGGCCAUGAAAUCUAAGAUGGGAUCCAUGUAUGAGAACAAAGUGUGGACUUUGGUGGACUUGCCCGAUGAUCAGCAAGCCAUAGAAAAUAAAUCGAUCUUUAAGAAGAAGACCGACACAGACAGUAAUGUUACUGUUUGCAAAUCUCGACUUGUUGCGAAAGGUUUUCGACAAGUUCAAGGAGUUGACUACGAUGAGACUUUCUCACCCGUAGUGAUGCUUAAGUCUGUCCGAAUCAUGUUAGCAAUUGCUGCAUUUUAUGAUUAUGAAAUUUGGCAAAUGGAUGUCAAAACUGCAUUGCUGAAUGGAUUUCUGGAAGAAGAGUUGUAUAUGAUGCAACUGGAAGGUUUUGUCGAUCCAAAGGGUGCUAGCAAAGUGUGCAAGCUCCAGUGAUCCAUUUAUGGACUAUGCAAGCCUCUCGGAGUUGGAAUAAAUGCUUUGAUAGUGCGAUCAAAGCAUAUGGUUUUGUAUAGACUUUUGGAGAAGUCUGUAUUUACAAGAAAGUGAGUGGGAGCUCUGUAGCAUUUCUGAUCUUAUAUGUAGAUGACAUAUUGUUGAUUGGAAAUGAUAUACAAUUUUUGGAUAGCAUACAGGGAUACCUGAAUAAGAGUUUUUCUAUGAAACACCUUGGAGAAGCUGCUUACAUAUUGGGCAUCAAGAUCUAUAGAGAUAGAUCAAGACGCUUAAUUGGACUUUCACAAAGCACAUACCUUGAUAAAGUUUUGAAGAAGUUCAAAAUGGAUCAGUCAAAGAAAGGGUUCUUCCCUGUAUUACAAGGUGUGAAGUUGAGUCGGACUCAAAGCCCGACCACCGCAGAAGAUAGAGAGAAAAUGAAAGUCAUUCCCUAUGCUUCAGCCAUAGGUUCUAUCAUGUAUGCAAUGCUAUGUACCAGACCUGAUGUAUGUCUUGCUAAGCAUUGCAGGAAGGUACCAAAGUAAUCCCGGAGUGGAGCACUGGACAGCGGUCAAGAAAAUCCUGAAAUAGCUGAAAAGGACUAAGGAUAUGUUUCUCGUUUAUGUAGGUGAAAAGAGCUCGUCGUAAAUGAUUACAUCGAUGCAAUCUUUACUAAUCCGGAUGACUCUAAGUCACAAACCGGAUACAUAUUUUUAUUGAAUGGAGGAGCUGUCAGUUGGUGCAGUUCCAAGGAGAGCGUCGUGGCGGGAUCUACGUGUGUAGCGGAGUACAUUGCUGCUUCGGAAGCGGCAAAUGAAGGAUUUUGGAUGAAGGAGUUCAUAUCCGAUCUUGGUGUCAUACCUAGUGCAUCGGGUCCAAUGAAAAUCUUUUGUGACAAUACUGGUGCAAUUGCCUUGGCAAAGGAAUCCAGAUUUCAUAAGAGAACCAAGCACAUCAAGUGUUGCUUCAAUUCCAUCCGUCAUCAAGUGUCGAAAGGGGACAUAGAGAUUUCCAAGAUACACACGGAUCUGAAUGUUGCAGACCCGUUGACUAAGCCUCUCUGACGAGCAAAACAUGAUCAGCACCAAAGCUCCAUGGGUGUUAGAAUCAUUACUAUGCAAUCAAGAUUAUUGACUGUACUGCAAGUUGGGGACUGAAGGAAAUAUGCCCUAGAGGCAAUAAUAAAGUUAUUAUUUAUUUCCUUAAUUCACAAUAAAUGUUUAUUAUUCAUGCUAGAAUUCUAUUAACCGGAAACUCAGUACAUGUGUGAAUACAUAGACAAAACCUAUAGUCCCUAGUAUGCCUCUACUUGACUAGCUCGUUAAUCAAAGAUGGUUAAGUUUCCUAACCAUAGACAUGUUUUGUAAUUUGAUGAACGGGAUCACAUCAUUAGGAGAAUGAUGUGAUGGACAUGACCCAUCCGUUUGCUUAGCAUCACGAUCGUGUUAGUUUCAUUGCUACUGCUUUCUUCAUGACUUAUACAAGUUCCUCAGACUAUGAGAUUAUGCAACUCCCGAAUAUCGGAGGAACACUUUGUGUGCUACCAAAAGUCACAACAUAAAAGGGUGAUUAUAAAGGUGCUCUACAGGUGUCUCCGAAGGUGUUUUUUGGGUUGGCAUAGAUCGAGAUUAGGAUUUAUCAUUCCGUGUUUCGGAGAGGUAUCUCUGGGCCCUCUCGGUAAUACUCAUCACUAUAAGCCUUGCAAGCAUUGUGACUAAUGAGUUAGUUGCGGGAUGAAGUAUUACAUAACGAGUAAAGAGACUUGCCGGUAACGAGAUUGAACUAGGUAUUGAGAUACCGACGAUCGAAUCUCGGGCAAGUAACAUACCGAUGACAAAGGGAACAACAUAUGUUGUUAUGCGAUUUGACCGAUAAAGAUAUUCAUAGAAUAUGUAGGAACCAAUAUGAGCAUUUAGGUUCCACUAUUGGUUAUUGACCGGAGACGUGUCUCAGUCAUGUCUACAUAGUUCUCGAACCCGUAGGGUCCGCACACUUAAAGUUCGGUGACGAUCUGUAUUAUGAGUUUAUGUGUUUUGAUGUACUGAAGGUAGUUCAGAGUCCCGGAUGUGAUCACGGACAUGAAGAGGAGUCUCAAAAUAUUCGAGACAUAAAGAUUGAUAUAUUGGACGGCUAUAUUCAGACACGGGAAGAGUUCCGGGUGAUUUUGGAGAAAACCGGAGUGCCGGAGGGGUUACUGGAACCCCCCGGGGAAGUAUUGGGCCUUAGUGGGCCUUGGGGGAGAGAGAGGGCAGCAACCCAGGAGGUGGCGCACUACCCCCAAGGGGAGUCCGAAUUGGACUAGGGUAAGGGGGCGCGGCCCCUCUUUCCCUCUCCCUCUCCCUCUCCUUCCUUCCCCCUUCCUCCUCAUAGUUGGACUAGGAAAUGAGGAGUCCUACUCCUACUAGGAGGACUCCUCCCCUCCUUGGCGCACCACAAGGGCCGGCCGGCCUCCCCCUUGCUCCUUUAUAUACGUUGGCAGAGGGGCACCCUAGAACACACAAGUUGACAUUGUUUAGCCAUGUGCGGUGCCCCCCUCCACAGUUACACACCUCGGUCAUAUCGUCGUAGUGCUUAGGCGAAGCCCUGCGCCGGUAACUUGAUCAAAACCGUUACCACGCCGUCGUGCUGACGAAACUCUCCUUCGGCCUCAACUGGAUCAAGAGUACGAGGGACGUCCCUGAGCUGAACGUGUGCUGAUCGCGGAGGUGCCGUAUGUUCGGUACUAAGAUCGGUCGGAUCGUGAAGACGUACGACUACAUCAACCACAUUGUCAUAACGCUUCCGUUUUCGGUCUACGAGGGUACAUGGACACACUCUCCCCUCUCGUUGCUAUGCAUCACCAUGAUAUUGCGUGUGCGUAGGAUUUUUUUUGAAAUUACUGCGUUCCCCAAUAACAAGACCAAUAAUCUCAUCUUUACUAUAUAUUUCUUUUUCAUGUGGUUGUCUACGAAACUUAGAGAAUUAAACUCAUGAGACACAUCACCAAACUUAACUCUAACCUUUUCUUUAACACAAUCAAUUUCAGCAUUAACAGUAUUUAAGAAAGGCCUACCAAAUAUAACUGGACAAAAAUUAUCUUGUUGUGAACCAAGUACUAAGAAAUCAGUAGGGCAUUUGAUUUUUUGACAUAAGACUUCAACUUGUCGAACAAUCCCAAGUGGUGAAUUAAUAUCUCUAUUUGAAAGCUUAAUAGUGACAUCAAUAUCUUGAAUCUCAGGAGGUGCAAUAUCAUUCGUAAUUUCUUGAUAGAAAGUAAAUGGAAUAGCACUCACACUAGCACCCAUGUAACAUAAACCAUGAUUGCAAUGAUCUCCAAUCUUAACAAAAACAAUUGGCAUGCCAACCAUUGGCUUAUUUUUAUCUAAAAUAUCUUGUUCAUUUCUAGCAGGUUUAGCAAUUCUAGCAUCUUCAUCAUAGAAGUAAGUAACAUGCCCAUCAAUAUUAUCAACCAAGAGAUCUUUAAACAUAGCAAUAUUAGGGUCCACACUUAUUUGUUUAUAGGGUUUAGGUGUUCUAAUAUUAUUUUUAUUAACCAUAGUUUUAGCUUUAGCAUGUUCCCUAAUCCUAACAUGGAAAGGAGGUUUCUCAAUAUAAGCAGCAGGUACAACUGGACCAGCAUUACAAAUAAUAGUUUCAUCUUUAACUUUAACAGGUUCCUUUAACAAUUCUUCAAUAUGUGGAUGAUAUUUAAACCAGUUCUCCUUAGGGAGAUCAACAUGAGUAGGAAAUGGUUCACAAAAGGAAGCUAGUAUCUCUGAGUGAAGUCCAUAUUUAGUACUAAACUUAUGAAAAGCAUUUGUUUCCAUAAAAGAUAUAACACAAUCAAACUCAAGUUUUAUACCUGACACGUUACCUUAGUCGAAUUCCCAAUCUUAAGAGUUACAUUUAAUUCUUUCUAGAAGAUGCCAUUUGAAUUCAAUAGUUUUAUUCAUAAAGGAACCAGUAGAAGAAGAAUCGAGCAUGGAUUGAUCAGUAUGAUAAAGCCGAGCAUAAAAUUUUUGUAUAAUAAUUUCUCUCGAGAGCUCAUGAUUGGGCAUGUGUGCAUCAUGGACUUAAGUCUCCCCCAAGCUUGAGCGAUACUUUCUCCUUCACAAGGGCAAAAAUUAUAUAUAUAAUUCCGAUCACGAUGAACCAAAUGCAUAGGAUAGAACUUCUGGUGAAAUUCCAAUUUCAAUCGGUUCCAAUCCCAUGUUCCAAUAUCAUCCAAUAGCCUAUACCAUGUCAAUGCCUUUCCCUCCAAAGAUAAAGGGAAUACCUUCUUCUUAACUCCAUCCUCGGAUAAACCUGCAAGCUUAAACAAUCCACAAAUUUCUUCCACAUAGAUUAAGUGCAUACCAGGAUGCAUUUUUCCAUCUCUUGCAUAAGGAUUAGCUAGCAAUUUCUCUAACAUACCCGAAGGAAUCUCAUAAUAAAUAUUUCCAGUAGGUUCAGUAGGUUGAGGGGAAACUCUUGUUGCUUCCUGUUGAGGUGAAGAUACCCCGAACAAACCCCUCAAAGGAUUAUUUUCCAUAGUAACAAGUGAAAGAAAAUUUCGGCAUGUAAUAUGAAUGUUUCCUUACCAAAGGCGCUUCACUCCCUAGCAACGGCGCCAGAAAAGAGUCUUGAUGACACAUAAGUAUAGGGGAUCAAUCAUAGUCCUUUCAAUAACUAAGAGUGUUGAAACCAACGAGGAGCAGAAGGAAAUGACAAGUGGUUUUCAGCAAGGUAUUCUCUGCAAGUGUUGUAGGUAACAGUGAUAGAUAGUUUUGUAGCAAGAUAAUUCGUAACGGGUGACAAGUAAAAAUAGUAGCAAAGGUGCAGCAAUGUGGCCUAUGAUACGUCCAUUUUGCAUCAUGCUUUUAUAUUGAUAUUUGUUGCAUUAUGGGCUCUUAUUACACAUUAUGGUACAAUACUUAUGCCUUUUCUCUCUUAUUUUACAAGGUUUACAUGAAGAGGGAGAAUACCGGCAGCUGGAAUUCAGGACUGGAAAGGGGGCAAAUCUGACAGACCUAAUCUGCACACCUCCAAAAGUCCUGAAAAUUGAUGGAGAAUAAUUUUGGAAUAUAUAAAAAAUUAUUGGGCGAAGAAAAUACCAGUGGGGACCCACCAGGUGGCCACAAGCCCGGGGGGCGUGCCCUACCCUCCUGGGCGCGCCCCUAGGGAUUGUGGGCCCCCUCGCAGGCCUUCGGUGCCCAUCUUCUGCCAUAUGAUGUCUUUUGACUUGGAAAAAAAUCGAAAGGAAGCUUUCAGGACGAAGCACCAUCGUCACGAGGUGGAACUCGGGCAGAAGCAAUCUAGGGCUCCGACGGAGCUGUUCCGCUGGGGAAACUUCCCUCCCGGAGGGGGAAAUCGAAGCCAUCAUCAUCACCAAUGAUCCUCUCAUUGAGAGGAGGCCAAUCUCGAUCAACAUCUUCACCAACACCAUCUCCUCUUGAACCCUAGUUCAUCUCUUGUAUCCGAUCUUUGUCCCAAAACCUCAGAUUGGUACCUGUGGGUUGCUAGUAGUGUUGAUUACUCCUUGUAGUUGAUGCUAGUUGGUUUAUUAGGUGGAAGAUCAUAUGUUCAGAUCCUUAAUGAUAUUCAAUACCCCUCUGAUCUUGAACAUGAAUAUGCUUUGUGAGUAGUUUCAUUUGUUCCUGAGGACAUGGGAGAAGUCUUGUUAUAAGUAAUCAUGUGAAUUUGGUAUUCGUUCGAUAUUUUUAUGAGAUGUAUAUUGUCUUUCCUCUAGUGGUGUUAUGUGAACGUAGACUACAUGACACUUCACCAUGAUUUGGGCCUAGGGGAAGGCAUUGGGAAGUAAUAAGUAGAUGAUGGGUUGCUAGAGUGACAAAAUCUUAAACCCUAGUUUAUGCGUUGCUUCGUAAGGGGCUGAUUUGGAUCCACAUGUUUCAUGCUAUGGUUAGAUUUAUCUUAAUUCUUCUUUCGUAGUUGCGGAUGCUUGCGAGAGUGGUUAAUCAUAAGUGGGAGGCUAGUCCAAGUAAGGACAACACCCAAGCACGGGUCCACCCACAUAUCAAAUUAUCAAAGUAACGAACGUGAAUCAUAUGAGCAUGAUGAAAACUAACUUGACAGUAAUUCCCAUGUGUCCUCGGGAGCGCUUUGCUUUACAUAAGAGUUCGUCCAGGCUUGUCCUUUGCUACAAAAAGGAUUGGGCCACCUUGCUGCACCUUUGUUACACUUGUUACUUGUUACGCAUUACGAAUUAUCUUAUCACAAAACUAUCUAUUACCGAUAAUUUCAGUGCUUGCAGAUAAUACCUUGUUGAAAACCGCUCGUCAUUUCCUUCUGCUCGUCAUUGGGUUCGACACUCUUACUUACCGAAAGGACUAGGAUAGAUUCCCUAUAAUUGUGGGUCAUCAGCCCAAUCCUUUUUAUAGCAAAGGGCAAGCCUGAAAGUUCUCUUAUAUAAAGCAAAGUGCUCUCGAGGACACAUGAGAUUUGUCGUCUAGUCACGCUCAUCAUGUUUAGUUGAUUCGCAUUUGCUACUUUGAUAAUUUGAUAUGUGGGUGGACCGGUGCUUGGGUGUUGUUCUUACUUGAACAAGCAAUCCACUUAUGAUUACCCCCUCCCGCAAGCAUCCGCAACUAUGAAAGAAGAAUUAAGAUAAAUCUAACCAUAGCAUGAAACAUAUGGAUCCAAAAUCAGCCCCUUACAGAAUAACGCAUAAACUAGGGUUCAAGCUUCUGUCACUCUAGCAACCCAACAUCUACUUAUUACUCCACAAUGCCUUCCGCUAGGAACAAGUAUGGUGAAGUGGCAUGUAGUCAACGUUCACAUGACACCACUAAAGGAAGCAACAACAUACAUAUCAUCAAAAUAUCGAACGAAUACCAACUUCGCAUGAUUACUUAUAACAAGACUUCUCCCAUAUCCUCAGGAACAAAAGUAACUACUCACAAAUCAUAUCCAUGUUCAAGAUCAACGGGGUAUUGAAUAUCAUUAAGGAUCUAAGCAUACAAUCUUCCACCAGAUAAACCAACUAGCAUCAACUACGAGAUGUAAUCAACACUACUAGCAACCCACAUGUACCGAGACAAAGAUUGAAUACAAGAGAUGAACUAGGGUUUGAGAUGAGAUGGUGCUGGUGAAGAGUUGAUGAAGAUUGGUCCUCCCAUGAUGAGAGGAUAGUUGGUUAUGUCGAUUGCUUUGAUUUCCCCCUCCCGGAGGGAAGUUUCCCCGAUGGAAUUGCUCCGCCGAAGAGCAAAAGUGCUCCUGCCCAGGUUCCGCCUCGAGAUGGUGGUGCUUUGUCUCAAAAGUCUUCCUAUGUUUUUCUAGGGAAAAUGGCAUCAUAUAGGAGAAGAUGGACCCUGAAGGCCUGCCAGGGGUCCCACAAGAUCGGGGGCGCCUAGAGGGGUAGGACGCACCCCCCAAGCUUGUGGCUUCCCGGUGGGUCCCUUCCUGGUGUUUCUUUCGCAAAUAUUGUUUAUAUAUUCCAAAACAAUUCUGUGUAAAUUUUCAGGUUAUUGGGAGUUGUGUAGAAUAGCUAUCUCUGCUAUAGCCCUUUCUGGUCCAUAAUUCCAGCUACCGGCAAUCAUCCUCUUCAUGUGAAACUUGCAAAAUAAGAGAGAAAAGGCAUAAGAAUUGCAUCAUGAAGUAAAAUAACAAUCCAAAACUCAAUAAAUAAUAGUAGGUAAACAAGAUGCAAAAUGGAUGUAUCAAGUAACAAAGGUAAGGGCGGCAUGAUCUGCCCUUUGGUUUGGUUUUCCCUGGAUUGACCCCCUGGAACAUUCCCGUUUCUUGGAGAUCCACUUCUGAGUGUUGGAGCUUCUUGAGGAUCGGAGUAGAGAUGAGGUUGAGGCUUGACCCCCCAUCGACUAGCAUCUUCGUGAUCUUCAGGUUUCAGAUCGUUGGUGCCACUGGGAUCGGGAGCACUCGAACCCCCGAACUACGAUCUGGAUAAUCACUAGCGUAAAAGGUGAUGGGUGUCUGUGACCACUAAAGGGGAUGCUGAGCUUCGACCGUCAGAUGUAUCGUGUUCACCUUGUGAGAGAACUUAUUGAACUUAUAAUGGAAGAAGUGAGAAGAUGCUCCCACGUGAACGCACUCUAGACCUUCGGCCUUUUGAAACUCAACAACCUCCUCCUCUACCUGAUCACCAACGUCAUCCCGCCUUGCUUGUCGUGGCCUCUGGUGGGUCACUCUUCUUGUCUUCUAUCUUUCUUCUUGAAGCCCCCGGCUCCUCCCUUGGCUCUCCUCUCCUUAUUCAUCCUCUCGUACUCCUUCUUCUGCUUCUCGACCAGGUACUCCAUCUCACGGCAUUCUUGGAUAUCAUGGUCAGAGGUAUGGUGUAUCUUGUAAUAAGGAUUUCCCGAGUCGUCGCCAGCGUCCUGCUCCACCCCUUGUUGGUGGCCUUGGGUUUCUUGCCAGAAUACUCCACCACAAGUAUCGCCUUGGAAUUGUGCUUAUGACUCUUGCAUUUGUUGGGGCCGGAAGAGGUGUCAACCCCUUCCUCGACAUCAUUGAUGCAGUUCCCAGGUACCUUCCUUCCUUCCUCCGCUAGCGCACACUUAUCGGUGAGCUCGAGGAGCUCGACAACAUUACGCACCUUGCGAGUGUUGAGCUUCUCUUUGAUCUUAGGCUGGCGGACGUCCGAGUUGAAUGUUGUGAUGAUCAUAGAUGAAUCAUUAUCGGGGAUAUUGUGUUGCACUUGGCUGAAGCAUUGUAUGUACUUGCGAAUGGUUCCCUCGGCCUCUACACAAGGAGGUGCAGAUCGCUAGGCAUUCUGAGCCGCUUGAACCCUCGUUGGAAGGCACCCAUGUAUUGUUUGCACAUCUUCCCAUGAGGAAAUGGAAUUUUCUGAAAGAUUCAUGAGCCAUGAGCGAACAUUGGGCUUGAGUGCCAUGGGGACCAGUAGGAAAGUGCUUGCUUCCUGCCGCCUGCAACCAGAAUGGCUAUGGUGUAUACACGAAGGAACUCAGCGUGGGUGGUUUUCCCAUCAUAUUGGAUGGAGCUGUCAGCGCCGAACCACCUUGGCCACUUGACGCGGUGCAGCUCCGAUGUGAACGCGACAUAACCUGCCCCGCAAGGAAAGUUGUCCAUGUCCUCGUUGAAACACUCCGUAUCUUCAAGAUCUGCAUGCGCAUCUGAUUGUUGGCGAGUUUCCUGACGUCUUUUGAUGUGGGUAUGUGCAUCUUGACCAUGGCGACCCCGCAUGUCUGAAGCUGGUCUUGAUGACGCUUGGGAAGAGAUGACGCCACUAUCACCGGGUUCUCACAAUCACCACGCGGCCUUGCCUGAUCUUGACGUCGUGGGGACUGUUGGGAAAUGUAGCAUACAAUUUCAAAAAUUUCCUACACCCAUGCAAGAUCUAUCUAGGAGAUACAUAGAAACGAGAGGGGGAGAGUGUGUCCAGGUACCCUUGUAGACCGAAAGAGGAAGCGUUUGACAACGCGGUUGAUGUAGUCGAACUUCUUCUUGUUCUGACUGAGGGAGUCCUGGUUUAAGGGGUCCUCGGACAGUCGGACUAUAUACUUUGGCCGGACUGUCGGACUAUGAAGAUACAAGGUUGAGGACUUUGUCCCGUGUCUGAAUGGGACUCUCCUUUGCGUGGAAGGCAAGCUUGGAUAUUCAGAUGUGUAGAUUUCCUUCUCUGUAACCGACUCUGUGUAACCCUAGCCCCUUCAGGUGUCUAUAUAAACCGAAGGGUUUAGUCCAUAGGACAAGAACAAUCAUAGUCAUAGGCUAGCUUCUAGGGUUUAGCCUCUAAGAUCUCGUGGUAGAUCAACUCUUGUAAUACUCAUCUCAUCAAGAUCAAUCAAGCAGGAAGUAGGGUAUUACCUCCAUCGAGAGGUCCCAAACCUGGGUAAAACAUCGUGAUCCCUGCCUCCUGUUACCAUUAGCCUUAGACGCACAGUUCGGGACCCCCUACCCGAGAUCCGCUGGUUUUGACACCGACAUUGGAGCUUUCAUUGAGAGUUCCACUGUGCCAUCGCUGUAAGGCUUGAUGGCCCCUUCGAUCAUCUUCAACGAUGCGGUCCAGGGGGAGGUUUUCCUUCCCGGACAGAUCUUUGUAUUCGGCGGCUUCGUACUGUGGGCCAACUCGCUUGGCCAUCUGGAGCAGAUCAAUAGCUACGCCCCUGGCCAUCAGGUCAGGUUUGGAAGCUUAAACUACACUACCGACAUCCGCGGAGACUUGAUCUUCGAUGGAUUCGAGCUCAGGACAGGUGCGCCGAACAGUCAUGACGGACAUGACUUUGAUCUGCCGCCGGAUAGUAUUCAGGAAAUCGCACCCGCGUUGGCUCCAGGAAUCAACCCGGAGCAGAUCAUGCCUACUGAGGAUGGGUGGUUGGACCCCGUAUGACAGUCUGGUUUUGCCCUCUUUUCUUUGCCUGAUUUUCAGUUGAGUGGGUUUUGAAUUUGGAGUUUUUGAAUCACUUCAUUUGGACUUAACCACUUGGGUACACCUUGACUUUCACCCAAGUGCCCCCUCUCCUCCUCAAAACCAUCAUUUCACCUCUAGUUCAACUCAAAAUAUUGCUUGGAAUAUUUUUCUUAAAUGAAAAAUAUUCAUUUUGCUCUCCAAAACCCUAGUUAGCCCUUUGUGCUCCAAAGCAACCCUAAUUUUUCUUGCCCCAAAAAUCCUGAUAAAAAUCCCAAUUAUUCUUUGGACCCUAGGGCACCUUUAUGAGCAAAAAUAUUUCACCACUCCUUGGAAUAUUUUCGCUACAGAAAAUAAAUUCAUUUCUGGACAAAAAUGGUAGCUUCUAUAGAAACUACAAUUUUACUAGCUCCAUUGUAGCUGGUUUUUCUUGUGCCUAUUUACCUUAGUAAGUGUAAGCAAGCCUCCAAAGCUCAGCCCUUAACUCCCAGUGGUUUGACCUCAGUAAAUCUCCAAAGUUACUGUCCAGAAACUUGCUAGCAGUACAAAUCCAUUUCUACUGCACCUGGAUCCAAGCCAAACCAUGGUAACACUUCAAACUACCAAGGACUAUACGCUAGACAUCAAGUUAGCGCUUAGGAUGGCCGGAUGUCACGGUUCACGCGGUGACCGCGUUCGUCCGGGCGUGCUGGCAUGCAAAACACACGCUCUGCGUGCCGCCUAGCGCUCUGUUGAGCGCGUGCUCGCUGCCCAGCCUGCCCGAGCAUGCCAAACCUCGCCACCAUCCCCGUCUCCACUCCCUUAACUCCCCAUGGCACUCGCCGACGCCGGAGCUCGCCGCAGCUGGCAUGGGCAUGGUCCGGCCAACGACACAGUGCGUGGUGCACUGUGCUCUUCAUCUUCUCCCUCGUCUCUGUGCUCGUCCGCGCCCGACAAUAGUUCCCGCGUGACCUCCAUCGUCUUCCUCCUCUCUUGCUGGCGCCGUUCGUCGCCGGGCACCGUGGAUAGGUGUCCUCCGGUGGAGCCCGAACCCUCCUUGCUGCCCGCCUAUAAAUGUCGCCACCCCCAGCCUCUUUGAGCACCCGCAGCUACUCCCACACCCUCCACAAAGUUGUAGAAGCCGCAGCCCGGCCGGGCAGGCCGCGGGCUGCCGUCCCGAAGCUCGAGCUCAUCGGCGAUCCCCUUCGGAUCGUCCCCGCAGCUCCAGCCCCUCCCAGGCCAGGGCGACCCUGCCAGGGCCUCCGCCACUCUUCGGUGAGGGCGUUUCGCCCUGUUGGAGCCCCUGGAGCCGCCCCGAGCCGCCGUUGUCUUCAUCUGCAGCGACCGCUGCCCUCUGCCUUCGCUGGAGAGGCUGUUUCCGACGCCGUCCGGUCACCUCUAGCCACGCUACGGGUAUGGGCAGGUGCGCCAUCUUCUUCUCCUUCGAUCCCCCCUCUCGUUUGUCCCCAAGAACCCUCGUCGCCGGCGUGUGCUCCGGCGAAGCUCCGCCUCCCUCCGUUUCCUUCUCCUCCUCCUUUUGGCCUGACUAGCGGGCCCCGCUAGUCAGCCACUCAGUACUCGCGCGAAGUGGUAGGAGUGGUAGCGCGCCGGGCGUUUAUGCCUUCGACGUCACCCCCCAGUCUAUUUUCUUUUUAAAUCAAAUUCAUUUAAAUCCAGGAAACUUCAUACAGCCAUAACUUUUUAUCUAUAAGUCCAAAUGCAUUGAUUCUUUUUGCAUUGUCUUUGUCCAAAAAUUUAACAGCACCCAAAAGAUGGGAUUUUUCCUUGCUGUCUAGAUUUUCUGGUAAUUUUCAGAAGGUUUCUUGAUGUUUUCUUUUUGUGGUUUUAUUUAUUUUCAGAAGAGCAAGCUUGUCUUGAGGACCACCAGGAGAUUUGUGAACCUCAUCAACACUAAGGCAAGCCACAACAACAUUUUCAUAGUGCCACCUCAAUAUUUGUGAUUUUCCUACUUGAACUUAUGAUUAUUCAUGCAUUUAAAUAAUUAUUAUAGUUAUAUUCUGUUAGAUGCUUGUCAUGUUAAAUAUGGUUGAUUUACAGAAAGUUUGAAAUGAAUUUUGCUGACAAGCUAACAAGAAUUUAGAUAUGAGUAAUGAUAAUAUGAUAUAGUCUUGGAGGUUAAUAAUUAGUUUAAUUAUUAUUCAUUGCAUGAUGAAAAAUGAUGAGAUUGCUAGAAAUGGCUCUGGUUUAAGUGAGGUUUGAUCUUAACCAGAGAAGUAUCUUGAGUUGGUGAUGGCUCCGUGGGAGCGUAGCUGAAAUAGUUAUUCUCUUGGUUAUUUGAUGCAUAUGUUAGUGAUGCAUAGCAUGGCAUUAUGACACCGGUUACUUUCACUUUAAGUUGAACCUGAUAAAUAACUCAACUUGAAUAUGUUGUUGACUGGGUCGUGGUGCCGCUGAAAUGAAUUUUCCCCAGUGCAACCACAUUUGCCGGUAUGGGACGACCUUAAUGCGUUUCAUUGUUGUGCCUCUGGUCGGUGCCUCCAUCUAGGGAAGGUUAUGGGCGUGCUGUACCCUAGCCCGGUAAGUAGGCAUAACCUUGCGUGCCAGUUGAUGAGUUAAGUGUUUGGGUCCCAGAGUGGAUCGUUGCCACGACGGUGGUUUGAGGUAGACAUAGGGCCACCCAGGACUAGCCCGAUGGGGAUUGAGUCGGAGUGGCCGGGAGAGUGUCAUGACAAUUAAGUGGUUUCUCAGAAUGCCGUUGGUCCACCCAAAUGGGAGUCCAAGGCCAUGGGUUCCGUAGUGUGGGUACAGUGCGCUACCUCUGCAGAGUGUAUUAAUCUAUCGAUAGCCGAGUUCACGGUUACGGACACACUCGAAAGUAGGGUACACCAUGGGUCAACACUUAAUAAAUUUGCACACUGAGACUUGCACUAAGGUAAUGGCUGUGAGGCCAUCGUGUUGAGGUUGAGACCAAGUGUUGAUCAGGGAUGUGAUCGCCGUAAGGAUCACGAGAUUGUCGUUGAGUUCUUCAUGUUUGUGGUCUGGAAAUGAUCACGUUCGGUAAGCCAGUCCAUGUGACGAGUACCACUUGAGCAUAUUCACAGCAUGUUGGAUAUAUAUUGUUGCAUUGUAUUUAAUUGGUUAAGUAUCAUGAUAUUGUUUGUCAUUAUGUUUAUGCUUGUUGUGAGCUUGCAAGUACAUUCAAUGUACUGACCUGGCGUGUCAUGCCAGAUUUCAGGAAAGUCUCGUUGGAAAGGAGAGCUGUUCGAGUCUAGAUCGUGUCCACAUUGGUGUCCCUGUGCUAUGGAGUCCCUCUACGAUGUUAUUCCGCUGCCGCGUAGUUGUCAUGAUCGAGGCCCCUUUAUGUUUACUAAAUAAUGUACAUAUUGUUCAGCCGCACCGUAUGUGCCGCUUGGCCUCGCUAACUGUUGUAAUAUGAACUAUGCUCCGCUAGCAUGAAUAAAGCGGUUGUUUUUCUGUACCAAGUUGUUGUGUGUUGCCAGAAGACUAGGCUUUGGGCUAGCAAUGCAGGGUAAACCGGUCACUCUGAGCCAGGGUGCCACACCCUGCCAUGGAGGCUGCACACUCAUUGGCAUUGGAGCCGAGCGCUGAUCGCACCUCCUGCUAGAGUGGUGUCGUCGGACCCCUGAACUCUUCCCCGGUUGUAGGAUUGGGCACCCGUCAUGGACCGCGGAUAUUUUUCACCACUCACCCUUGGGAGAUGUGCUGAAGUCAUUAAGGUCUCUGUCCUUGUCAGGAGACUCUGGGCCGAACUAUGUCCGGCUCGAGUGGGAAGUGGACGAUGAAGAAAUUCGUUACCCUCCCACCACCCACUUCAUAGCCACUGUCGAUGAUUUAACUGACAUGCUCGAUUUUGACUCCGAAGACAUCGACGGUAUCUACGACGACGCAGGAGAAGAACAGGAACCACCACCCAUUGGGUGCUGGACUGCCACCUCAUCAUAUGAUAUUUAGAUGGUGGACAUAGCAAAAGAAGGCGAUGGUGACGAUACAACGAAGGAUAAUCCCCUCGAUAAGCCACCAAAGCGGCGCCAUAGACGCUGCUCUAAAUUCCGCCACAGUAAAAAUAGCGACAACAGCGCAAGAAAUAAUAAUACCCCGGUUGAUUCCAAAGGAAACGAUGACCCCAUGGACCCAGCGAUGGCGUAGGAUAAGCCAGGGGACGGUGAAAACAGUCCGGAGCCGACGUCAGAUAACACCGAUCCCGAGGAUAAAUUCAACAACCUGUCUCCGGAGAGGAGGACAGCCCGGACGAUGAUGCACUUAUCAUCCCAGAAAAACUCUUGGAACAAGAGAACCUCCACAGAAGACUUAUCGCUACCGCGAGGAGCCUAAAGAAGCAGAAGCAAAAGCUUAAGGCCGCGCAGGAUACGCUCAACCGUAGGUGGAGCAAAGUGCUCGACACAGAAGAAAAAUACGGUGAUGAUCGCCACGCAAAGAGCUAUCCAAAACGCAAGCUGCUGCCCGAAUUCGACGAUGAGGCCGUAGAGCCCACUCAGCCGAAAACUACCGAUCAGCCAGACCGACCGCCCCGUGGCCAUGACAAGACGGCUAAGGAUGCCGCGCACAAGUCAGCACACGAUUUAUGUGAGCUCCUGGGCAGAAAGUCCAGUAUGGCCAGAUCCAUCUAUGGAUCUAGGAAGCGCGCUCCAGCGCAGGAUCAGAACUACCGAAACGAUCACAUCGAUCAAAUACCAGCUUGGAAUCAGAAUGAAGCACAACAACCGUCGACAUCAUGCCACGACACAACCAAAUACAGGGGUGCCACACACCCCCUAUGCUUCACCGACGAGGUGCUGGAUCAUGAAUUUCCAGAAGGAUUCAAACCCGUGAAUAUAGAGGCAUACGACGGAACUACAAACCCUGGGGUCUGGAUCGAGGACUUUAUCCUUCAUAUCCAUAUGGCUCGCGGAGACGAUCUCCAUGCCAUCAAAUAUCUACCCCUCAAAUUAAAGGGACCAGCUCGACACUGGCUGAAAAGCCUUCCCGAAAACUCAAUUGGAAGUUGGGAAGAGCUCGAGGAUGCUUUCAGGGCCAAUUGUCAAGGGACCUAUGUCCGGCCUCUGGAUGCUGACGACCUAAGCCAUAUAAUUCAACAGCCCGUCAUCCCGAAAACUCUGGAACAACUUUCUUACUAAGAAAAACCAAAUAGUCGAUUGCCCGGACGCCGAGGCUUUAGCGGCCUUCAAGCAUAGUAUCCAGGAUGAAUGGCUUGCCAGACACCUCAGCCAAGAAAAGCCAAGGAUGAUGGCAGCCUUAACAAGCCUUAUGACCCACUUUUGCGCAGGCGAGGACAGCUGGCUGGCCCAUAGCGGCACCAGCGACCCAAGCACUUCCGAAGUCAGGGAUGGCAACAAGAAGCCGCGACGCAACAAAAACAAGCGUCAAAACAAUAAUGACAUCCCAGAGAAUACGACGGUCAAUGCCGGAUCCAAGGGCUCUCAACCCAGUCAACGGAAGAAGCCAUUUAAAGGUAGCAGAGAUGGACCGUCCAGCCUAAACAAGAUUCUAGACAAAUUAUGUCAGAUUCACGGCACCCCCGAAAAGCCUGCAAACCACACCCACAGAGAGUGUUGGGUUUUCAAACAGACCGGCAAACUGAACGCCGAACAAAAGGGGAGGGAGAUGCCAAGUGAGGACGAGGAGGAGCCUCGUCAGCCGAACACUGGAGGACAGAAAAAAUUCCCACCAGAAGUCAAAACAGUGAAUAUGAUUUACGUAACUGACAUUCCAAAGAGAACGCGCAAACACGCACUCAGAGACAUAUACACUGUUGAGACCGUUGCCCCCAAAUUUAAUCCCUGGUCGGCCUGCCCGAUCACCUUCGAUCGCAGGGACCACCCGACUAGUGUCCGACACGGAGGAUCGACUUGUUGGAAAUAUGCCCUAGAGGCAAUAAUAAAUUGGUUAUUAUUAUUAUAUUUCCUUGUUCAUGAUAAUCAUUUAUUAUCCAUGCUGUAAUUGUAUUGAUAGGAAACUCAAAUAUAUGUGUGGGUACAUAGACAACACCAAGUCCCUAGUAAGCCUCUAGUUGACUAGCUCGUUGAUAGACAGAUGGUCACAGUUUCCUGACCAUGGACAUUGGAUGUCGUUGAUAACGGGAUCACAUCAUUAGGAGAAUGAUGUGAUGGACAAGACCCAAUCCUAAGCCUAGCACAAAGAUCGUAGUUCGUAUGCUAAAGCUUUUCUAAUGUCAAGUAUCAUUUCCUUAGACCAUGAGAUUGUGCAACUCCUGGAUACCGUAGGAAUGCUUUGGGUGUAUCAAACGUCACAACGUAACUGGGUGGCUAUAAAGGUGCACUACAGGUAUCUCCGAAAGUGUCUGUUGGGUUGGCACGAAUCGAGACUGGGAUAUGUCACUCCGUGUGACGGAGAGGUAUCUCUAGGCCCACUCGGUAGGACAUCAUCAUAAUGUGCACAAUAUGACCAAGGGGUUGAUCACAGGAUGAUGUGUUACGGAACGAGUAAAGAGACUUGCCGGUAACAAGAUUGAACAAGGGAUCGGGAUACCGAUGAUCGAAUCUCGGGCAAGUACAAUACCGUUAGACAAAGGGAAUUGUAUACGGGAUCGAUUGAGUCCUUGACAUCGUGGUUCAUCCGAUGAGAUCAUCGUGGAACAUGUGGGAGCCAACAUGGGUAUCCAGAUCCUGCUGUUGGUUAUUGACCAGAGAACGUCUCGGUCAUGUCUGCAUGGUUCCCGAACCCGUAGGGUCUACACACUUAAGGUUCGAUGACGCUAGGGUUAUAAAGGAAGUUUGUAUGUGGUUACCGAAUGUUGUUCGGAGUCCCGGAUGAGAUCCCGGGAGUUCCGGAAUGGUCCGGAGGUAAAGAUUUAUAUAUGGGAAGUCCUGUUUUGGUCACCGAAAAAGUUUCGGGUUUUAUCGGUAACGUACCGGGACCACCGGGAGGGUCCCGGGGGUCCACCAAGUGGGUCCACCAUCCCCGGAGGGCAGCAUGGGCCUAGUGUGGGAGGGGACCAGCCCCAGGUGGGCUGGUGCGCCCCCCCACAAGGGCCCAAGGCGCCUAGGGUUUGGGGAGGGGGCGCCCCACCUUGCUUGGGGGGUAAGUUUCCCCCUCUCCACCCCUUGGCCGCCCCCCUAGAUGGGAUCUAGGGCUGGCCUCCGCCCCUAGGGGUGGAAAGCUAGGUGGGGGCGCAGCCCCCUCUCCCCCUAUAUAUAGUGGAGGCAUAGGAGCAGCCCAAGACAUGAGUUUCUUCUCCUGUUGGCGCAUCCCUACCUCUCUUUCUCCUCAUAUCUCGCGGUGCUUGGCGAAGCCCUGCUGGACUACCACGCUCCUCCAUCACCACCACGCCAUUGUGCUGCUGCUGGAUGGAGUCUUCCUCAACCUCUCCCUCUCACCUUGCUGGAUCAAGGCAUGGGAGACGUCACCGGGCUGUACGUGUGUUGAAUGCAGAGGUGCCGUCUGUUCGAUACUAGGAUCUCCAGUGAUUUGGAUCACGACGAGUACGACUCCUUCAACCCCGUUCUCUUGAACGCUUCCGCUUAGCGAUCUACAAGGGUAUGUAGAUGCACUCUCCUUCCCCUCGUUGCUGGUUUCUCCAUAGAUAGAUCUUGGUGACACGUAGGAAAAUUUUGAAUUUCUGCUACGUUCCCCAACAGUGGCAUCAUGAGCUAGGUCUAUUGCAUAGAUUCUUUGCACGAGUAGAACACAAAGUAGUUGUGGGCAUUGAUUUUGUUCAAUAUGCUUACCGUUACUAGUCCAAUCUUGUUUCGACGGUAUUGUGGGAUGAAGCGGCCCGGACCGACCUUACACGUACUCUUACGUGAGACAGGUUCCACCGACUGACAUGCACUUGGUGCAUAAGGUGGCUAGCGGGUGCCAGUAUCUCCCACUUUAGUCGGAACGGAUUCGAUGAAAAGGGUCCUUGUGAAGGGUAAAUAGCAAUUGGCAUAUCACGUUGUGGUUUUGCGUAGGUAAGAAACGUUCUUGCUAGAAACCCAUAGCAGCCACGUAAAACAUGCAAACAACAAUUAGAGGACGUCUAACUUGUUUUUGCAGGGUAUGCUAUGUGAUGUGAUAUGGCCAAGAAGAAUGUGAUGAAUGAUAUGUGAUGUAUGAGAUUGAUCAUGUUCUUGUAAUAGGAAUCACGACUUGCAUGUCGAUGAGUAUGACAACCGGCAGGAGCCAUAGGAGUUGUCUUUAUUUAUUGUAUGACCUGCGUGUCAUUGAACAACGCCAUGUAAUUACUUUACUUUAUUGCUAACCGGUAGCCAUAGUAGUAGAAGUAAUAAGUUGGCGAGACAACUUCAUGGAGACACGAUGAUGGAGAUCAUGAUGAUGGAGAUCAUGAUGAUGGAGAUCAUGGUGUCAUGCCGGUGACGAUGAUGAUCAUGGAGCCCCGAAGAUGGAGAUCAAAAGGAGCAAAAAAUGAUAUUGGCCAUAUCAUGUCACUAUUUGAUUGCAUGUGAUGUUUAUCAUGUUUAUACAUCUUAUUUGCUUAGGACGACGGUAGUAAAUAAGAUGAUCCCUCAUUAAAAUUUCAAGAAAGUGUUCCCCCUAACUGUGCAUCGUUGCGAAAGUUCGUCGUUUCGAAGCACCAUGUGAUGAUCGGGUGUGAUAGAUUCUUACGUUCACAUACAACGGGUGUAAGCCAGAUUUACACACGCGAAACACUUAGGUUAACUUGACAAGCCUAGCAUGUACAGACAUGGCCUCGGAACAUAAGAGACCGAAAGGUCGAGCAUGAGUCGUAUGGAGGAUACGAUCAACAUGAAGAUGUUCACCGAUGAUGACUAGUCCGUCUCACAUGAUGAUCGGACACGACCUAGUUGACUUGGAUCAUGUAAUCACUUAGAUGACUAGAGGGAUGUCUAUCUGAGUGGGAGUUCAUGAGAUGAACUUAAUUAUCCUGAACAUAGUCAAAAGAUCUUUGCAAAUUAUGUCGUAAGCUCGCGCUUUAGUUCCACUGUUUAGAUAUGUUCCUAGAGAAAAUAUAGUUGAAAGUUGACAGUAGCGAUUAUGCGGACAGUAGAAAGCUUAUGUCCUUAAUGCACCGCUUAGUGUGUUGAACCCCAAACGUCGUCUGUGGAUGUUGCGAACAUCGGACAUACACGUUUUGAUAACUACGUGAUAGUUCAGUUAAAUGGUUUAGAGUAGAGGCACCAAAGACGUUUUCGAAACAUUGCAGAACACAUGAGAUGUUUCGAGGGCUGAAAUUGGGAUUUCAGGCUCGUGCCCACGUCAAGAGGUAUGAGACCUCCAAUGAUUUUCUUAGCCUGCAAACUAAGGGAGAAAAGCUCAAUCGUUGAGAUUGUGCUCAGAUUGUCUGAGUGCGACAAUCACUUGAAUCGAGUGGGAGUUGAUCUUCCAGAGAUAGUGAUGUUUCUCCAAAGUCAUUGCCACCAAGCUGCUAGAGCUUCGUGAUGAACUAUAACAUAUCAGGGAUAGAUAUGAUGAUCCUUGAGGUAUUCGCGAUGUUUUGACACCGCAAAAGUAGAAAUGAAGAAGGAGCAUCAAUUUUGAUGGUUGGUGAAACCACUAGUUUCAAGAAGGGCAAGGGCAAGAAGGGAUACUUCAUGAACUGGCAAAUCAGCUGCUGCUCUAGUGAAGAAACCCAAGGUUGAACCCAAACCCGAAACUAAGUGCUUCUAUGAUAAGGGGAACAGUCACUAGAGCGGAAUUACCCUAGAUACUUGGUAGAUGAGAAGGCUGGCAAGGUCGAUAGAAGUAUAUUGGAUAUACAUUAUGUUAAUGUGUACUUUACUAGUACUCCUAGUAGCACCAGGGUAUUAAGAUACCGGUUCAGUUGCUAAGUGUUAGUAACUCGAAAUAAAAGAGCUACGGAAUAAACGGAGACUAGCUAAAGGUGAGCUGACGAUAUGUGUUGGAAGUGUUUCCAAGUUUGAUGUGAUCAAACAUCGCACGCUCCCUCUACCAUCAAGAUUAGUAUUAAACCUGAAUAAUUGUCAUUUGGUGUUUGCGUUGAGCAUAGACAUGAUUGGAUUGUGUCUAUCGCAAUACAAUUAUUCAUUUAAGGAGAAUAAUGGUUACUCUAUUUAUUUGAAUAAUACCUUCAAUGGUCUUGCACCUAAAGGAAUGGUUUAUUGAAUCUCGAUCGUAGUGAUACACAUUUUCAUGCCAAAAAUAUAAGAUAGUAAUGAUAGUACCACUUACUUGUGGCACUGCCAUGUAAGUCAUAUUGGUAUAAAACGCAUGAAGAAGCUCCAUGUUGAUGGAUCUUUGGACUCACUCAUUUUUGAAAAGUUUGAGACAUGCGAACCAUGUCUAUUGGUGUAUAUGCAUGAAGAAAACUCCAUGCAGAUGGAUCAUUUGGACUCACUUGAUUUUGAAUCACUUGAGAUAUGCAAAUCAUACCACAUGGGCAAGAUGACUUAAAAGCCUCGUUUUUCAGUAAAAUGGAACAAGAUAGCAACUUGUUGGAAGUAACACAUUUUGAUGUGUGCAGUCCAAUGAGUGCUGAGGCAUGCAGUGAAUAUCGUUAUGUUCUUACUUCACAGAUGAUUCGAGUAGAUGUUGAGUAUAUUUACUUGAUGAAACACAAGUCUGAAUUAUUGAAUGGUUCAAGUAAUUUCAGAGUGAAGUUGAAGAUCAUCGUGACAAGAGGAUAAAAUGUCUAUGAUAUGAUCAUAGAGAUGAGUAUCUGAGUUACAAGAUUUGGCACGCAAUUAAUACAUUGUGGAAAUUGUUUCACAAUUAAUACCGCCUGGAACACCAUAGUGUGAUGGUGUGUCCGAACAUCAUAGUUGCACCCUAUUGGAUAUGGUGCGUACCAUGAUGUCUCUUAUCGAAUUACCACUAUCGUUCAUGGGUUAGGCAUUAGAGACAACCACACUCACUUUAAUAGGGUACCACGUAAUUCCGUUGAGACGACACCGUUUGGACAAACCUAAGUUGUCGUUUCUUAAAAGUUUGGGGCUGCGACGCUUAUGUGAAAAAAGUUUCAGGUUGAUAAGCUCGAACCCAAAGCGGAUAAAAUGCAUCUUCAUAGGACACCGAAAACAGUUGGGUAUACCUCCUAAUUCAGAUUCGAAAGCAAUAGGGAUUGUUUCUUGAAUCGAGUCCUUUCUCGAGGAAAGGUUUCUCUUGAAAGAAUUGAGUGGGAGGAUGGUGGAGACUUGAUGAGGUUAUUGAACCGUCACUUCAACAAGUGUGUAGCAGGGCACAUGAAGUUGUUCCUGUGGCACCUACACCAACUGAAGUAGAAGCUUAUGAUAGUGAUCAUGAAGCUUCAGAUCAAGUCACUAUCGAACCUCGUAGGACGACAAGGACACGUACUGCUUUGGAGUGGUACGGUGAUCCUGUCUUGAAGGUCAUGUUGCUAGACAACAAUGAACCUACGAGCUAUGGAGAAGCGAUGGUGGGCCCAUAUUCCGACAAAUGGUUAGAAGCCAUGAAAUCCGAGACAGGAUCCAUGUGUCAUAACAAAGCAUGGACUUUGGUGGACUUGCCCGAUGAUCGGCAUGCCAUUGAGAUAAAUGGAUCUUUAAGAAGAAGACGGACGUGGACGGUAAUGUCACCGUCUAUGAAGCUCGACUUGUGGUGAAGAGUUUUUCACAAGUUCAAGGAGUUGACUAGGAUGAGGUUUUCUCAUCCGUAGUGAUGCUUAAGUCCGUCAGAAUCAUGUUAGCAUUAGCUGCAUUUAUGAAAUCUAGCAGAUGGAUGUCAAAACGAGUUUCCUUACCAGUUUUCGUAAGGAAAGGUUGUAUGUGAUACAAUCAGAAAGGUUUUGUCGAUCCUAAGGAUGCUAAAAGGUAUGCUAGCUCCAGCGAUCCUUCCAUGGACUGCAGUAAGCAUCUCGGAGUUGGAAUAUACACUUUGAUAAGAUGAUCAAAGAUUCUAGGUUUAUACAAGGUUUGUGAGAAACUUGUAUUUCCAAAGAACUGAGUGGGAGCACUAUAGAAUUUCUGAUGAGUAUAUGUUGUUGACAUAUUGAUGAUCAGAAAUGAUGUAGAAUUUUCUGGAAAGCAUAUAGGGUUAUUUGAAAGGUGUUUUUCAAUAAAAAAACCUGGAAUAAGAUGCUUGAACAUUGAGCAUCAAGAUCUAUGAGGAUAGAUCAAAAACGCUAAAUGGUACUUUCAAAUGAGCACAUACCUUGACAUGAUCUUAACGGUGUUCAAGAUGGAUCAGUCAAAGAGGGAGUUCUUGGCUGAGUUGUAAGGUAUGAAGUUAAGACUUAAAGCUCGACCACGGCAGAAAAGAGAGAAAGGACGAAGGUCGUCCCCUAUGCUAUAGACGUAGGCUCUACAGUAUGCUAUGCUGUGUACCGCACCCGAUGUGUGCCUUGCUACUUAUCUGGCAAGAGGGUACAAAGGUGCUCAAGGAGUGGAUCACCAGAUAGCGGUCAAAAUUAUCCUUAGAGGAAUAAGGAUAUGUUUCUCGAUUAUGGAGGUGAUAAAGAGUUCAACGUAAAGGGCUACGUCGAUGCAAGCUUUAACACCUAUCAUAAUGACUCUGAGUAGCAAACCGGAUACGUAUAGUGGAGCAACCAUUUGGAAUAGCUUCAAGUGGAGCGUGGAAGCAACAUUUACAAUAUGACAUAGAGAAUUGCGAAGUACAUACGAAUCUGAAAGUUGCAGACCCAUUGACUAAAACCUCUCUCACAAGCAAAACAUGAUCAAACCCCAGAACUCAUUGAGUCUUAAUCACAUGAUGAUGUGAACUAGUUUAAUGACACUAGUAAACUCUUUUGAUGUUGGUCACAUGGCGAUGUGACGUAUUAGUGUUAAUCACAUAGCGAUGUGAACUAGAUUAUUGACUCUAGUGCAAGUGGGAGACUGUUGGAAAUAUGCCCUAGAGGCAAUAAUAAAUUGGUUAUUAUUAUUAUAUUUCCUUGUUCAUGAUAAUCGUUUAUUAUCCAUGCUAUAAUUGUAUUGAUAGGAAACUCAAAUACAUGUGUGGGUACAUAGACAACACCAAGUCCCUAGUAAGCCUCUAGUUGACUAGCUCGUUGAUCAACAGAUGGUCACGGUUUCCUGACCAUGGACAUUGGAUGUCGUUGAUAAUGGGAUCACAUCAUUAGGAGAAUGAUGUGAUGGACAAGACCCAAUCCUAAGCCUAGCACAAAGAUCGUAGUUCGUAUGCUAAAGCUUUUCUAAUGUCAAGUAUCAUUUCCAUAGACCAUGAGAUUGUGCAACUCCCGGAUACCGUAGGAAUGCUUUGGGUGUAUCAAACGUCACAACGUAACUGGGUGGCUAUAAAGGUGCACUACAGGUAUCUCCGAAAGUGUCUGUUGGGUUGGCACGAAUCGAGACUGGGAUUUGUCACUCCGUGUGACGGAGAGGUAUCUCUGGGCCCACUCGGUAGGACAUCAUCAUAAUGUGCACAAUGUGACCAAGGGGUUGAUCACGGGAUGAUGUGUUACGGAACGAGUAAAGAGACUUGCCGGUAACAAGAUUGAACAAGGUAUCGGGAUACCGAUGAUCGAAUCUCGGGCAAGUACAAUACCGUUAGACAAAGGGAAUUGUAUACGGGAUCGAUUGAGUCCUUGACAUCGUGGUUCAUCCGAUGAGAUCAUCGUGGAACAUGUGGGAGCCAACAUGGGUAUCCAGAUCCCGAUGUUGGUUAUUGACCGGAGAACGUCUCGGUCAUGUCUGCAUGGUUCCCGAACCCGUAGGGUCUACACACUUAAGGUUCGAUGAUGCUAGGGUUAUAAAGGAAGUUUGUAUGUGGUUACCGAAUGUUGUUCGGAGUACCGGUCGUCACGAGGAGUUCCGGAAUGGUCCGGAGGUAAAGAUUUAUAUAUGGGAAGUCCUGUUUUGGUCACCGGAAAAGUUUCGGGUUUUAUCGACAACAUACCGGGACCACCGGGAGGGUCCAGGGGGUCCACCAAGUGGGUCCACCAUCCCCGGAGGGCAGCAUGGGCCUAGUGUAGGAGGGGACCAGCCCCAGGUGGGCUGGUGCACCCCCCCACAAGGGCCCAAGGCGCCUAGGGUUUGGGGAGGGGGCGCCCCACCUUGCUUGGGGGGCAAGUUUCCCCCUCUCCACCCCUUGGCCGCCCCCCUAGAUGGGAUCUAGGGCUGGCCUCUGCCCCUAGGGGUGGAAAGCUAGGUGAGGGCGCAGCCCCCUCUCCCCCUAUAUAUAGUGGAGGCAUAGGAGCAGCCCAAGAUAUGAGUUUCUUCUCCUGUUGGCGCAGCCCUACCUCUCUUUCUCCUCAUACCUCGCGGUGCUUGGCGAAGCCCUGCUGGACUACCACGCUCCUCCAUCACCACCACGCCGUUGUGCUGCUGCUGGAUGGAGUCUUCCGCAACCUCUCCCUCUCACCUUGCUGGAUCAAGGCAUGGGAGACGUCAUCGGGCUGUACGUGUGUUGAACGUGGAGGUGCCGUCCGUUCGGCACUAGGAUCUCCGGUGAUUUGGAUCACGACGAGUACGACUCCUUCAACCCCGUUCUCUUGAACGCUUCCGCUUAGCGAUCUACAAGGGUAUGUAGAUGCACUCUCCUUCCCCUCGUUUCUAGUUUCUCCGUAGAUAGAUCUUGGUGACACGUAGGAAAAUUUUGAAUUUCUGCUACGUUCCCCAACACGGCUGCCCUGGUGCUCAACCCAAUAAUUGACGGGUACCAUCUCACACGAGUCCUCAUGGACGGCGGCAGUAGUCUAAACCUGAUAUAUCAGGACACUGUCCACAAAAUUGGGAUACACCCUUCAAGGACCAUCCUAAGUAACACUACCUUUAAAGGAGCAAUACCAGGUGUUGGGGCCCACUGUACGGGCUCCCUAGUACUAGAAGUUGUAUUCGGUUCCCCCGACAACUUCAGAAGCGAGGAAUUAACCUUCGACAUCGCUCCAUUUCGGAGUGGCUAUCAUGCACUACUCGGACGAACGGCCUUCGCUCAUUUUAAUGCAGUACCGCAUUAUGCCUACCUCAAACUUAAGAUGCCCGGUCCAUGCGGUGUCAUCACAGUUAGCGGAAACACCGAGCGUUCCUUACGCGCGGAAGAAUAUGUGGUGGCUCUAGCAGCCGAACACUGAGCGGUCCCCCCAACCAGGACUAAUGGCCGGUCGUCAAGACCACAGACACGGUUAGACGAGUCCGGCGCUCCACCUAAUGUAACAGCCCAGUUGGCAUUUGCCCAUAAAAGAUGCUAGGGGCUGCUCGCAAAAAGAGCCCAUAGUUUGGCUCGACCUUAUCAAUACAAUAGCAUAUUGCAUUUUCAUUAACGAACACCUCGCACGAAGUCUUUCACCUAGGUUUUUUCCUUUUAUAGGCGACCAUCGUGCUACACCCUUCCAGGAUAUGGCACAACGGAGAUAAAGGCGCAAACAUGCAGCAGGGCCCCGCACAAAGGUUUCUCUUUAGAUUAAGCCCCUGCGUAAACCUUUUUAACAUCUCUUGUUGCUUCUUCCCCUCCGUAAACUUCAUACAACCGGGGGGAUACUGGCGUCUUCGGCAUUUUUGUCACACCAGAACACUGCUCAUACCUGGAAACUCAGGGCUCAUUGUUAAGGGUGUUAUUCAGCCUAGUACACAUUAUAAAGUCCGAAUACCUUAGGGAGUGUUCGGCGUCGCGAGUUUGGCCUUAUAUGCAUCAGCUCCGAAUCAUGUCUUUGGUCGAAUGUUGGGUUUGCCUGGCUCCCGUGUUUUGCUACCUUACGUUCCAUUUUAUCGGAUAAGGCGACACCAGAAGAACUACUACGACUGUGCCCCGGUUCACCUGGACGAGCACCUCAGUAGAGAAAGCUGAAAACUGACUGUCAUGAUACAGCGCGAGACUGGUCAACCACUCGAUGACCCUGCGGAAUCCUCGCGAUUCCUCUGCAUUAACGAAGGACCGAUUUCCCGGUCACGUACAUACGCACACCAUAUCCGGCUGAACGCGAAAGUACCAGGGGCUAUAUAGUAGCCCCACCGUCAAACUCAUAUGGCUAAGUGAAAGUGUUAAAGCUAUAUAGUCUGAUUGCCUGGUUCACCGUGCUAUCACCUCCUUAAUGGACCAAGACGUUGGAUCAAGUGUGAUUACGCGCGUUCCCGAACACCCCCGCACUAUAUGCGUGGGGGUUGAAGCCGACGACUGCAAACUUUCAGGAUACAUAUAUAUACAUAAACGGCCGCACAAGAGGCAUUAUAAUACUUCCAGGCAAAAGUAUAAAAACAGCCUUUAUAAUCAAAAUAGCGUUGUCUUUACAAUCGCGAUACAUGUCUUUCGAACAUGGCACUCUUCGAGCACUGAGCCUCUAUUAAACGAGCGCCUUCUAAGACUUCUUCGAAAUAAUGCUCGGCCGGGUCCUGGCCAUCCACCACACUACGAGUCACAAUUGUGGUGGCUUCCAUCCUAGCCCAGUGUGUUUUAACACGGGCAAGAGCCAUUCGCGCACCCUCUAUGCACGCCGACCUCUUCACAUUGUCGAUAUGCGACACAACACCAAUGAAUUGUUGCACUAAUCCAAAAUAAUUGUCCGGCCUUGGCCCUUGUGGCCAAAGAUGAUCCACGACAGACCUCAUAGCAAGCCCGGACAACCUGUGGAGUUUGACCCACACGGCCAUCUUUUCAUUUAAUGGCAGUGGACGCGUCGGGGCACUGAACUGCGACUAGAAUAACCUCUUAGCCUUAUGGUCCUUCCGAUCUUUAUAAAACUCAGAUGCAUCAGCAGCACUCUUUGCCAGGUCCGCAUAUGCGUCCGCCGCACUCCACAACUGAUCUAGAGGGGCAUACUUCGGAUCUCCAAACUUCAUCCACAACAGAUAGGGCUUUCCAGACACAAUAUCUCCGGCUUCACGAAGCUCCUCCUUCAUCCCCCUCAUUUCAGAGCGGGUUUCCUUGGCUGCCUCUAGGGCCUUCUUCAAGUCAGCUGCUUUUGCUUGAUUCUCCUUUUCAAGGAGCUUGCGGCGGUUAGCGGCAUCUUCCAUCUCGGUAGCCAUCUGAGCCAUCUUUUCUUCGCUCCAGCUACAAGAAGCCUGUUCGGCUUUUAACUCCUCGACCGCCUUAAGAGCGGCUGCAUCAGUUAUCCGGGCUUGCUCCUUGGCUCGGGCAAGCUCCGCCCGAAGGGUCUCCACGGCAGCAGCUCCAUCUGCAGUAACAACAUAUCAUAGAUACUAGCAUCAUGCUCCUCUUAAAGGUUUUGCUGAUAAGCCGAAUAUACAUACCCUGGGCCUCGUCAAGCCGCUUGUUAACAAGCGUGAUGUCGGCAUCGACCACGUCUAGCUGCCACUUUAGUUCGGCAAAAUCAGCAAAUCGAUCGGCCGCCAAACCCUCAGCCACCUGCACAUAAAGCAGUGCGAUUAUUAAUAGAGAUUAUGAUCCUCUGUCCGCCACGUUGAUGGCAAUCAGAGUCUCAGGGGCUACUAUCCAUAUAGAGCACACAUAGAAUGUGCGGAACCAUCAAAAAUACAUUUUUUUGCGUACCUCAAAGCCUCUUAGCAGACUCAUAAAAGCCUCGUUCAAACCGCCUUUCGCGUAUGAAAUCCUCUCAACUAUUGUGCCCAUUAAGGCACGAUGUGUCUCGGAGAUGGCCACUCGCUCCAGAAGGCCCAUUAGGGUGUUCAGCUGUGCGCCGGACAAUCCCAGACUCCCCCUCAAACUCUCCUUGGGAGCCAGAUAUCCCAGACUCCCGGCGACCGAAGUAUCAACUUCUGGCCUUGGCGGAUCAAGAGAAAUCCUCCGUGACGACAAUUCGGGGUCAUCCGCCCUAUGUGACGGGGAGGCAGGGGGAGGCGACUCACUCUCCAUCAUCUCUGGGGGAAGAUCCCCCGAGGAUGAACUCUGUGGAGAAGGGCUAUGAGCCGGACUGCAAGAAAUAUGUUUUGGUCAUUAUCCUCAAGAAAAUAAACAGGGUAUGUCUACCAAAGUACUCUCUCACUUACGGCUCGGUGGAGGGCCGGUCCCCUUGUGAGGUCUUCUUCCCUCGUUUAGAAGCCUCUGUUUCCAAAUCUUCGGAGGUGGCCCUUUUCUUACCUUGGGGAGAGGGGAUUUUAGAUUCCCCUCCCCGAUUAUCCUCCUUCGCGGAGGCAUCUACUCCUCCAAUAUGGAUGUGUAGAAAAUGAGGCCCAUCUGUGGCUUCUCUGUUCCUCCCCUCGUCUUCGCCAGAUGGCACCUGAUACGGCACACGGUCAAGCAUCCUGGUCAACAAAGGAUUCGGCAAGCCUUCAGGAAGAGGGGCCGGACACCUAAUCCUCUCCGCCUUCUUCAGCCGGUCCUGGAAGAGAACGUUUUUUAGUUAUAAUAAAUAUAAAGGAUGGUGUGUUCGACAACAGAAGUAUUUACCGGGGUAUCCGUAUGGUUGCAAUUGAGACCCGCGUCCUCGGUGGUGUCCGGACACUUUAUUCGUGAUCCAAAGAAUAACCCGUACAUCUCUUUGAGCGUCAGGACAAAGAAUUUUUGAACGGUUCGCGGUCCUUCCGGGUUGAACUCCCACAUACAGAGAGGACGACAUUGGCAGGGAAGGACUUGACGGACCAGCAUCACUUGCAUUAUCUUGGCAAGACUGAUAUCCCUCUUGAGAAGGUCUGGGAUGCAGCUCUGCAAUGUCGGCAUGUUAUUUGCCGCCCCCCAGUCCAUCCCUUUGUUGACCCAUGACACCAGUUGGGGUGGAGGGCCCAGGCGAAACGCUGGAGCAGCCACCCGCUUUGUACCUCGGGGAGCGGUGAUGUAAAACCACUCCCGCUGCCAUAAAUCAGAGGUCUCCAUGAAAGAACCCUUUGGCCAUGGGGCGUCGGUGCCUUUGCUUAUUAUAGCGCCUCCGCACUCCGCGUGACGCCCGUCGAUCACCCUCGGCCUCACAUUGAAGGUCUUGAGCCAUAGGCCGAAGUGGGGUGUGAUGCGGAGGAAGGCUUCACACACGACAAUAAACGAUGAUAUGUGAAGAACGGAAUCCGGAGCUAGAUCCUGGAAAUCUAGUCCGUAAUAGAACAUGAGCCCUCUUACAAAGGGAUCAACGCUAAAACCUAGCCCUCGGAGAAAGUGGGAGAUAAAGACAAUGCUCUUGUUGGGCUCGGGAGUGUGGACAACUUGCCCUGGAGCAGGUAGCCUGUGCGGAAUCUCGGCAGUGAGAUACCUAGCCUCCCUAAGCUUCCGGAUGUCCUCCUCUGUGAAGGAGGAGGCCAUCCACCGGCCUUGAUUGGAUCCGGACAUGGUCGAAAGACCGAGGUGCUUUAGCUUGAGCCUUGGGUGUUGGAACUCGAGGUGGGGGAGGGGAAGGAUCGAGCGUGGAAAGAAAAAGACAGUCCUUGGCCCCUUUAUAAAGAGGAUGAAUAUCAAGCGUCCCCCGCGUGACCGUUUAGGACUUGCCUAAAGUCAAAGAGUCAUAUUAAACAAACAUGGUUGGGUUACCCACGCAAUCCGUGAUAAGGGGGGACACGAUCUCUGCUUCGACAAGACGUGCCAGUAAAACCGCGUCGCAGCGCGUGUAGUGGCUAGUUAUGAAAACGGUUCGAAUAAAGGCCGAACCGUGGCGUGAUGUCAUGCUAUAAAAGCUGUCUGCAGAUUAGAUUUGUGGAAUAUUAUACUCUCUAUGGUGGUAUGUGGAAUUUUUUUUGCAGAGCCGGACACGCCCCUUGUGUCCUAAACCUUCCAUGGAGUAUUCGGAGAAGGAACCCGCCUUGCAAUGCCGAAGACAAUAUGCGCGCCGGACUCAUCAUCAUUGAAGCCUGAUUCAGGGGCUACUGAGGGAGUCCUGGAUUAAGGGGUCCUCGGACAGCCGGACUAUAUACUUUGGUCGGACUGUUGGACUAUGAAGAUACAAGAUUGAGGACUUCAUCCCGUGUUCGGAUGGGACUCUCCUUUGCGUGGAAGGCAAGCUUGGAUAUUCGGAUGUGUAGAUUUCCUUCUCUGUAACCGACUCUGUGUAAGCCUAGCGCCUUCUGGUGUCUAUAUAAACCGGAGGGUUUAGUCCGUUGGACAAGAACAAUCAUAGUCAUAGGCUAGCUUCUAGGGUUUAGCCUCUACGAUCUCGUGGUAGAUCAACUCUUGUAAUACUCAUAUCAUCAAGAUCAAUCAAGCAGGAAGUAGGGUAUUACCUUCAUCGAGAGGGCCCAAACCUAGGUAAAACAUCGUGUCCCUGCCUCCUAUUACCAUUAGCCUUAGACGCACAGUUCGGGACCCCCUACCCGAGAUCCGCCUGUUUUGACACCGACACCGACCAAUCAAGCACCGAACAUACAACACCUCCGAGUUCUGCACACGUUCAACUUGAUGAUGUCCCUCGAACUCUUGAUCCAACAAAGUGUCGAGGGACAGUUCCGUCAGCACGACGGCGUGGUGAUGGUGAUGGUGAGGUGAUCCGUGUAGGGCUUCGCCUAAGCACUACGAGAAUAUGACCGGAGGCGUAAACUGUGGAGGGGGGCACCGCACACAACUAACAAUUGUUGGUGUGUGUUCUAGGCACCCCUCCUCACGUAUAUAUAGGCUGGAGUGGGAGGGGGACAACUUUGAGGCACCCCAAGUAGGAGGAAUCCAACUUGGGUGCCUCCUCCAAUUCGGCCUUUCCCCUUACUUGUAUACGGAAGGGGGAAGGAAAGAGGGGAGAGGGGGAAGGAAAACGGGGAGAGGGGGAAGGAAGGGGGAAUCCUAUUCCCUCUCUUUCCUUUCCUCCUCCCCUUUUCCUUCUCCACUUUGGAUGGACCAUAUGGGGGGCACACCGGUCCCUUGUGGCUGGUGUGUUUCCCCUCUUGGCCCAUAAGGCCCAUAUCUUUUGCCGGGGUGCCCGGAACCCCUUCUGGUGACCCGAUAUGUACCCGGUACCCUUCAGAACACUUGCGGUGUCCGAAUACCAUCGUCCUAUAUAUCAAUCUUUACAUCUCGACCAUUUCGAGACUCCUCCUCAUGUACGUGAUAUCAUCCGGGACUCCGAACAACAUUCGGUCACCAAAUCACAUAACUCAUAUAAUACAAAAGCGCCAUCGAACGUUAAGUGUGGGGACCCUAUGGGUUCGAGAACUAUGUAGACAUGAACGAGACACCUCUCCUGUCAAUAACCAACAGUGGAACCUGGAUGCUCAUAUUUCUUCCUACACAUUCUACGAAGAUCUUUAUCGGUCGAACCACAAUGACAACAUACGUAAUUCCCUUUGUCAUCGGUAUGUUACUUGCCCGAGAUUUGAUCAUCGGUAUCUUCAUACCUAGUUCAGUCUCGUUACCGGCAAGUGUCUUUACUCGUUCCGUAAUACAUCAUCCCGCAACUAACUCAUUAGUCACAUUGCUUGCAAGGCUUAUUAUGAUGUGCAUUACCAAGAGGGCCCAAAGAUACCUCUCCGAUACUCGGAGUGACAAAUCCUAAUCACGAUCUAUGCCACCCCAACAAACACCUUCGGAGAUACCUACAAAGCAUCUUUAUAAUCACCUAGUUACGUUGUGACAUUUGAUAGUACACAAGGUAUUCCUCCGGUAUCCGGGAGUUGCAUAAUCUCAUAGUCAAAGGAAUAUGUAUAUGUCAUCAAGAAAGCAAUAGCAAUAAAACUUAACGAUCAAUAUGCUAAGCUAACAGAUGGGUCUUGUCCAUCACAUCAUCCUAAUGAUGUGAUACCGUUCGUCAAAUGACAACACAUGUCUAUGGUUGGGAAACUUAACCACCUUUGAUUAACGAGCAAGUCUAGUAGAGGCUUACUAGGGACACAGUGUUUUGUCUAUGUAUCCACACAUGUAUCAAGUUUCCAGUUAAUACAAUUCUAGCAUGAAUAAUAAACAUUUAUCAUGAUAUAAGGAAAUAUAAAAUAGCAACUUUAUUAUUGCCUCUAGGGCAUAUUUCCUUCAGUCUCCCACUUGCACUAGAGCCAAUAAUCUAGUUCACAUCGCCAUGUGAUUUAACACCAAUAGUUCAGAUCUUUAUGUGAUUAACACCCAUAGUUCACAUCGCCAUGUGAUCAACACUCAAAGGGUUUACUAGAGUUAAUAAUCUAGUUCACAUCGCUAUGUGAUUAACACCCAAUGAGUACUAAGGUGUGAUCAUGUUUUGCCUGUGAGAGAAGUUUAGUCAAUGGAUCUGCCACAUUCAGAUCCGUAUGCAUUUUUAGAAAUUUCUAUUUCUACAAUGCUAUGCAUGGAGCUACUCUAGCUAAUUGCUCUUAGUUUCAAUAUGUAUCCAGAUUGAGACUCAGAGUCAUCCGGAUUAGUGUCAAAGCUUGCAUCGACGCAACCCUUUACGACGAACUCUUUGUUAACUCCAUAACCGAGAAACAUUUUCUUAGUCCUCUUUAGGUACCUAAGGAUAAUUUUGACCAUUUCCAAUGCUCUACUCCUGGAUCACUAUUGUAUCCCCAUGCCAAACUCAUGGCAAGGUACACAAUAGGUCUGGUAUGCAGCAUGGCAUACUUUAUAGAACCUAUGACUCAGGCAUAGGGAAUGACUUCCAUUCUCUGUCUAUCUUCUGCCGUAGUCGGGUUUUGAGUCUUACUUAACUUCAUACCUUACAAGUCAGACAAGAACUCCUUCUUUGACUGACCCAUUUUGAACUCAUUGAAAAUCUUGUCAAGGUAUGUACUUAUUGAAAGUCUUAUCAAGCGUCUUGAUCUAUCUCUAUAGAUCUUGAUGCCCAAUAUGUAAGCAGCUUCACCGAGAUCUUUCUUUGAAAAACUCCUUUCAAAUACUCCUUUAUGCUUUCUAGAAAAUUCUACAUCAUUUCCGAUCAACAAUAUGCCAUUCAUGUAUAUUUAUUAGAAAGGAUGUAGUGCUCCCACUCACUUUCUUGUAAAUACAGGCUUCACCGCAAGUCUGUAUAAAACUAUGGGAUUUUAUUUCUAUGCCCCUGGUUCCUUAGCUCUACUCAUUCAUCCCCACUCUGUUAACUUUUGCUUACUUUUCCCCACUCCCUUGCCCGAAACCCUCAGAACAGGUUAUAACGGACGUUGCCGUCGGGUCAAUGCCUUUGACCGUUAGCUGACGAGUGGGGCCACAUAUACGUGGGCGUAUGCAAGACCAUGGUCGUGGGGUAGCACGUGUCCAUGGACAUGCCCGAAACGUCCCAUCUUAUAAAGAGGGCGACCACCUCCAUCGCCCCUACCAUUUCCCCCCAAAUCCCCUCACUGCCGCAUCGUCUUCCUCUCCCCAACUGGUGUCGUCUCGCUCUCCUCCACUGCCUCCACCACACAGUCUCGUUCUCCCCUCCGCAUCCUCUUCCUCACCUUCAUCGCCUCCAUCUGUCAGAUGGCCGACGCUCAUGACGAUGCUGGCACAAUGGCCGGAGAUGUGGUGGAGCUGCAGGUUCAGGGCGCGAUGAUCGUGGAUGUCGACGGCGUCCAUGGCGGUGCGGGGAAACUCUCAACCACUAUGGAUGUGGCGGGCUUCGCCUCAUUGCUGCAGAAGGUGACGGUGUCAAGCGGCACAGUACAUCCCGGUGCCCCCGUUGUGCCGCCUGCCGUCGAGGAGCAGGUAUUUGCACUUGCUUAGCUUGUAGAGUUAGUUUCUCCCUAGUUGCAUGGGUUAGAUUGUGGUUCAUACAGUAGUUCAGAUGGUUAGAGUAGUUGGUUUGACGGAUGGGCCGGGUUGGGGGGAUGGGGUUUUUUGGACUAGGGUUUGUUGGAUAAAUUCAUUGCAAAAAUGCUAGCUAGAUGUUGUAAACUAUGAUUUUAGGUGUUGCAAUGAUUGGGGUUUUUAGAUUUGGAUAAAUCCGUUGCAAAAAUGCUAGAUGUUGUGAAUAGAUUGGGGUUUUUAAUGCUAUGAUUCUUAUUAGAUUUGUUUUUAGUGCUCAUAGAAUGGGGUUUUUAAUGCUACUCAGAUUCGUUGCCUUAGAUUUGGUCCCUGUUAGAUUUGUUUUUGAAUGCUACUCAGAGUAGGGUUUUGAAUGUCAUAUGCCCAAAUGGAAUCCAUUGAUUAAGACGUUAUUUGAUUCAUUAGUAUAUAAAUUUUUCCACAAUAUAUAGUUAUAUUAGCUCUGUUCUUCAAUGUGUGUGCAUGACCAAUGAUCAAUGUGUUAUAUUCAUGUCAUAUUGGGGGUUUUGAUAAACGUGUGUACAAAUCUAAUACAUUGAUAUACUAGUGAUGGAUGUGGUUUUUGAAUGCAUAGAGCUAAGGGGGACAGAAAUAAAAAAAACCACUUCUAAAACAUUUAUGAUAUUGGGAGUAUAUUAGCCCUAUGAUCAAUGUGUCAUGUAUGCAUAUCUAAAUUUUCAAUUGGCUACUAGUGAUGGAUGUAAUUGUAUAUUGAGGAGGAUGAUGGUUGGGGGGGAGAAAGAGGAACCUGGCCGACUACGACCCGUACGAGGGGGCGUUUAGUGACGAUUCUGAAUAUGAGGUAAGCACAUCCCUUGUUCAUUUAGUUCCUUUGGCAUGGUGUAUAUGAAUCUAUAAUGUAUUAAUGCAAUUCAUUCAUUUGUGCAAUAUGAUUCUGGAGAUGAUGUGUACAAGGGCAAUGUCGCGUCCUUCACAGCCAAGGAGGUGGAGAAGAUCAAGGCCAAGGGAGUUGCUUCCUUCUACAACCGCAAGUUCAAGAAGUGGCACUGCCCCUACUGCACCACCAAGCCAAAGCCAAGGGAUGGACGCUUCGAUCACCUUCUGUUUCAUGCUGAGGAUGUGGCAAUUCGCGGGGAGGACUACAUGAUCAGGUGGCAGCCUGCCGCCCUCGCGAAGGCCUUGACUCCGGCAUGAUGUGAUCGAUGAUGUGAUGUUGUGUUACUUUUGGUUUGGUUUGUUGAACUAUUGGGUUACUUUUGGUUUGUUGAAGUGAAUCUCGUUGGUUAUGGUUUGUUGAACUGAAUCUCUCGUUGGUUAUGCUAGUAAUCUGGUUGCUAUCUAUAUUUGUCUGUCCUUAAAUUUGCAUGUGGUAUAUUUGUCUGUCCUGAAACUAUGGUUAGAUAUGUUUAGAUGUUGUGAACUAUGAUCUUAGGUGCUGCAAUGAUCACACAUGUUGUGUAGGAAAUCAAAUGCAUGCUCCAAAUGAGAUCAUUUAAACCUUGGCAAACCUGGACAGUACAAAUUCAAGAAAAUGCAAAAACAAGUAAAACCUUGGCAAACUAUCUAUGUUUCUGUAGGAGAUCAUGUGUGCAAAAUUUGAAGUGAUUUAGAGGAGGUCAAAUAAAUUUGAAUUUGAGAAAAUGUGCUCCAAAUGAGCUCCCAGGCUAGGGUAAACAGCCCAUUUCUAAUCAAGUUCUUUGGAACCUACUCUAAAUGAGCCAAAUGUUUUUUUAUUAACACAUAUUCACUUUCCAUAGUGUAGAUUCGAAGUCUCACUAUUUUCUGAAUUAAUCUUCAUAUUUUUACAUUUUCUUUUGAAAACAUAUGCUUUAAUAUAAAAACUAUUAAAACACAUUUUAAAAUAUGAAAAUGGAAAACUAACUUCAGAUCCUUCUUAUUCACUUUAAAAUAAAGCUUUAGUGAUUUUUUUGAUUUUUUUUAAAAAUUUUCAAAAACGGAAGGUAACACCACCUCCUCUCCUUGAACUCUAUGAAAUCAUGUACAUGUUAGCUCAUAUGUGUGAAGGUUUUCUCAUGAAAAUGGCCAUAGACCAAGUUUAUGAUUUUUGGUUGGUAACAUGUCACAUAAUACAACAUUGUGCGCAGGUUAUAUUUAUUUUUUGAUUUUUUUUAAAUUAAUGGUGCUCAUUUGACCCCGGUCGUGCCAGCUAGGGUUUUUUCAUGAAAAUGACCAUAGACUGAUACGUCUCCAACGUAUCUAUAAUUUUUGAUUGCUCCAUGCUACUUUAUCUACUGUUUUGGACUAUAUUGGGCUUUAUUUUCCACUUUUAUAUUACUUUUGGGACUAACCUAUUAACCGGAGGCCUAGCCCAGAAUUGCUGUUUUUAGCCUAUUUCAGUGUUUCGAAGAAACAUAAUAUCAAACGGAGUCCAAACAGAGUGAAAUCUUCGGGAUCGUGAUUUUCCAACCGAACGUGAUCCAGGAGACUUGGACCCUACUCCAAGCAGUGCCCAAGGAGGUCACGAGGGUGGAGGGCGCCCCCCCUGGGCGUGCCCCCUACCUCGUGGGCCCCUCGAUGCUCCACUGACGUACUCCUUCCUCCUAUAUAUACCUACGUAUCCCCGAACGAUCAGAACAGGAGCCAAAAACCUAAUUCCACCGCCGCAACCUUCUGUAUCCACGAGAUCCCAUCUUGGGGCCUGUUCCGGAGCUCCGCCGGAGGGGGAAUCCACCACGGAGGGCUUCUACAUCAUCACCAUAGCCCCUCCGAUGAAGUGUGAGUAGUUUACUUCAGACCUUUGGGUCCAUAGCUAGUAGCUACAUGGCUUCUUCUCUCUUUUUGGAUCUCAAUACAAUGUUCUCCCCCUCUCUCAUGGAGAUUUAUUCGAUGUAAUAUUCUUUUUGCGGUGUGUUUGUUGAGACUGAUGAAUUGUGGGUUUAUGAUCCAGUAUUAUCUAUGGAAAAUAUUUGAUUCUUCUCUGAAUUCUUUUAUGUAUGAUUGAGUUAUCUUUGCAAGUCUCUUCGAAUUAUCCUUUUUGGUUUGGCCAACUAGAUUGGUAGUUCUUGCAAUGGGAGAAGUGCUUAGCUUUGGGUUGAAUCUUGUGGUGUCCUUACCCAGUGACAGAAGGGGCAGCAAGGCACGUAUUGUAUUGUUGCCAUCGAGGAUAACAAGAUGUUUUUUAUUUAUCAUAUUGCAUGAAUUUAUCCCUCUACAUCAUGUCAUAUUGCUUACGAUGUUACUCUGUUUUUAACUUAAUACUCUAGAUGCAUGCUGGAUAGCGGUCGAUGAGUGGGGUAAUAGUAGUAGAUGCAGAUUUGUUUCGAUCUACUUAUUUUGGACGUGAUGCCUAUAUACAUGAUCAUUGCCUAGAUAUACUCAUAACUAUGCUCAAUUCUAUCAAUUGCUCAACAAUAAUUUUUUCACCCACCGUAGAAUACUUAUGCUCUUGAGAGAGGCCACUAGUGAAACCUAUGGCCCCCGGGUCUAUUCUCAUCAUAUCAAUCUAUAUCACUUUAUUUACUUGCUUUGUUUUUACUUUGCCUUUUGCUUUUUACUUUGCAUCUACCUAUCAAAAAUACCAAAAAUAUUAUCUCUAUCAGAUCUCACUCUCGUAAGUGACCAUGAAGGGAUUGACAACCCCUAAGCGUUGGUUGCGAGUUGCUAUCAUUUUGUGUAGGUACGAGGGACUUGUGCGUGGUCUCCUACUGGAUUGAUACCUUGGUUCUCCAAAAUUGAGGGAAAUACUUACGCUAUUUUGCUGCAUCAUCCUCUCCUCUUCGGUGAAAUCCAACACAGUGCUCAAGAGGUAGCAAGAAGAAUUUCUGGCGCCGUUGCCGGGGAGGCUCAUGCAAGCAAGUCAACCAUACCAAGUACCCAUCACAAUCCCUAUCUCUCGCAUUACAUUAUUUGCCAUUUGCCUCUCGUUUUCCUCUCCCCCACUUCACCUUUGCCGUUUUAUUUGCCCUCUCUUUCCCAAUCUCCUCCUCUCUUUCCCGUUUGCCUUUUUUCCCUUUGCCUUUCUGUUUGCUUGUGUGUUAGUUUGCUUGUUUGUCAUUAUGACUAGUCUCUGAUCUUCUCCAUUAUCUCCCGAGAAUGAAGUUCUAAAUUUUAAGCAAAGGGAGGGAGAAAAUCUAAAAGAUGCUUGGUAUAGAAUUUGCAAUGCUCAAAAUAAAUCUACCAGGAAGCAAUCUACUUCAGUUCUUCUUCGCAAUUUUUACGUAGGUGCUAAUCCUUGGUAUAGAUAUAUCCUUGAUACUAUCACCGGAGGGAUUUUUUUCUGUAGCCAUACUUUUGAUUCUUAUAAUGCUCUAAUAGAUAUAUCUGGCUCACCACCCCUUUUGAUUAAUGGAACUACGUUAACUUUGGAGCAUGUUAUGCAAAGGCUUGAAGCUAUUGAAAAUAAAGUUGCUACCAUUGAAUGAAUUGAAAAUCUUGAUAAAAAGAUCCACAAUCAAAUUACCCAAUAUGGAUCUAAGGUAGGAAUGACUUUGAAAAAUAUUAAAGAAAAAGAUCCCAUAGUUAAUGAAAAAAUAAAUCUAGACUCUACAAGAAUCGAUAAACUUGAGGGUAUCAUUACUAACUUGGGAACCACUUUUUCUUCCGUGCAAAAUAAUCCAAGUUCGUCUACCAAAAAAAUACUAAGCUUAUUUAUGUUCCUAAAAAUAAGGGUGAAUCAUCUAGUAAGGAAACUGCGAAUCUUAAAUCUAUAAGCGUUCAUCCCAAUCUUUUUUCCAUCAUUAAGGAACCUUUUGCUAUGAAUGAAUUUUUCGAUCUUUUGCCUAAAAAAUUAACAGUUACUAGAAAGAAAGAAAAUUCCAAAGGAUGUAGAUGCCUCAUUGAAGAAUUGCCUACCAAAUAUGGCAAUACCUAGAUCUAUCCUUGUUUUUAUGCCUAGCUAGGGGCGUUAAACGAUAGCGCUUGUUGGGAGGCAACCCAAUUUUAUAUUGUGUUUUUUGUUUUUGCUUCUGUUUAGGAAUAAAUAAUCCAUCUACCUUCUGUUUGUAUGUGGUUUUAUGUUUUAAUUAGUGUUUUUGCCAAGUAGAACCUAUAGGAUAACCUACGAUGAUAGUUGACUUGAUUCUGCUGAAAAACAGAAACUUUGCGCGCACGAAUUUAGUUAUGAUAAAUCACAGGUACGUGAUUUUGCGUUUAUUCUUUUUUCUUCUGAUCAAUAACCUAAUUUUCCAGGACUUCCUAUUUUGGUAGAAUGUUUAGAGUUCCAGAAGUUUGCUUUAGUUACAGAUUGCUACAGACUGUUCUGUUUUUGACAGAUUCUGUUUUUCGUGUGUUGUUUGCUUAUUUUGAUGAAUCUAUGGCUAGUAAAUUAGUUUAUAAACCAUAGAGAAGUUGGAAUACAGUAGGUUUAACACCAAUAUAAAUAAAGAAUGAGUUCAUUACAGUACCUCGAAGUAGUCUUUUGUUUUCUUUCUCUAACGGAGCUCACGAGAUUUCUGUUGAGUUUUGUGUUGUGAAGUUUUCAAGUUUUGGGUGAAUUCUUUUGAUGGAUUAUGGAACAAGGAGUGGAAAGAGCCUAAGCUUGGGGAUUCCCAUGGCACCCCCAAGAUAAUCCAAG